GAAUAUUUCAUGAACGCGGCUGCAGCUGUUAAACAGCACUAUGAAACCAAGUGUGUUGGCAGGAAUCUGAGAAGACAUUGGCACGGGUAAAACUAGUGAGAGAAGCAGCCCAGAGCAGAGGCAGCUCGGGGAGAGCCCCUGCAGGCCCCGCGGGAAGGCACCAGCCUUCAUCCCCUUCAGGUCUCUGAGAAGUGACUCACUGUCCCCCCUGUCCUCACUCCAGGCACAUUCCAGAGUGGAGUGUGGAGACAGGAGCUGAGCCAGGCAGGACAGGGGACAGCACUGGACACCGAGGACUUGCACCCUGGGACCAUAGUUCUAGAAGACGGGGUGCUCUGAGGCGUUGCUUCCCUGGACUUGAGGGGCCUAUAGGAAGAGGUGUUGAACUUGGGGUGCCCCAGGAGGCUGCCUGGGAGCCUCAGAUGUCUCAUCCAGGGGAGCUCAUGGCUGGGAAAGCACGGUGGGAGCAGUUUGCUGUGGGCCCUGGUGAGGGUGGGGCACACCGAGAGGCUCCCUGACCCCUGGUGCCCACAUGGCACCAGGCUGCUCCCAGGUCUUUCUCCUCCAUGCUUCCUGCUGGCCAUGGACGAGGACACGCAGAGGCCUUUGUUUAGCCUCCCCCUAAAGAACUGAAACAUUUUCCUGGUCUCCUCUUGUGUACCUCCCCUCUUCUGAAGCACCUGACUUCUGCAGAGGUAAUGAAGAGAGCAACCCAGCCACAGGCUGGGGACGUCACUGGGCCAGACGCUGGGCUCACUUAGCACUUGGCGUACUUAACUUCUUGUACAGUCUGAGGUAAGUACUGUUAUUACCCCAUUUCACAGCGGAGAACAUUAAGGGUUAGACAAAGUGAACUGUUCAAAGUCACAGCACUAAUGGAUGUCAGAGAGGAUUCGAAAUCUAAGUUUGGGGAAGGCAGAGCCCAUAUCCUUAAUCCACCUGGUUGGUUCCCAAUUCCCUGAUAGUCCCAAAAAGAGGUUUGGGGGAGGAGAACUUAGAGCAAAAACCAAAGAGCAAAGGCCUGGAAACCAGAGAAACCUGGGUCAUUUUGAAGCCUGGUAGUUAUGCUGAGCAUGUGGUGAACUGCGGAGAGCCUCCAUUUCCCCAGCUGCUACAAAAACUAAUUGAAGAAAAAAACUGUGAGUUGACAGUCCUGGUGCCUGGCAUACAAUACAUACUCAAUAAAUGCUAGAAUUCCUCUUUUCUCCAGGCUUCCCAGGGAAGCCCAGCCGGACAGGAUCCUUCUGCUCAGGAAGAGCUUCCUCAGAGAGACGGAGCAGAGGCUCCAAGCCUGAGCUAGGGGCCUACUGGACCUUCUCUCCCUGCACCUUGGCCUCUCGUUAUCUCUACUUAUCAGACAGUGCUAGCCCUCCACAACUGAGAACUCGGUGUGGCAGAAAACAUGUCUCCUCGGUUCACUGUGGGAUUCCAAUGAACCAGCAGAGAGCCCAGAGAGGACUCAAAAAAUGUCUGUGGGUAGACAGAUGGACUGAUGGGUGGUUUGGGGGAUGGAUGGAUGAGGGGGUGGGUGGGUGAGUGGAUGGAUCACUGGAUGCGUCGAUGUUCAGAUGGAGGAUCUUCAUUUGCAGGGUUCUGCCUCACGUGUGUAUACACGGGUGUUUGCAGGCACAGCGCCUGUUUACUGCGAACUCCUUGUUUUUACCAUCCUGGGUUAGGCAGGAACAAUCCCCAGGGCUGCCCUGCCCAAGCAGAUAAGGCACUGUCUGGCCCAACGUCCACAAGUAAAAUAACUCCUAGACCUUCUCCUUCUUCUCCAACUUCUUAGGGGGGAAAAUCCUCUCUGGCAAGAGUGGGUGCCAGACUCUAUUCCUUGUUGCCAGGGUGACCCUCUGUGCAGGGAGAGGGGCUACUUCCGACUGCUGGAAUCUCAUGCUCCUCUUCCAUUUGUAUUUCUUUUGGUGCUGAGGGGAACUGAUAAACAGUGAUACCCGGCUGCUCAUUGCUUUGCUUAUCAGAAGAUGGUUCUUCAUUGCUGUGCGUACGUGGGGAGCGGAUGGUUCAAAAGGCCACGUGAUGUGUUUGUGAGAGGAGCCAGUGGCUUGGCAGGGACAGGGUCCCAGAGGAGAGAGCAGAGUUCAGGGAGGAGGGAGGAAAGGCGGGGCCAGAGGAAUCUUCUGCAGAUAAUCUCCUGUUCUUAUCAGUGGCACGUUUCCCCAACACAUGUGUUCCACGGACUUGACCUUAAUCCCUGGAAAGCAAAAUGGCAGCUUCAGUCUAUUGGGCUCCAGGAGAGUGGACUUUGAUGUUCUUGGCCAGAGAUAAGCCCUGGGGGUCUCUUUGCUGUGUCUCUCCCCCAGCUCCUCCUGCCACACUCUUCAGCUUCCUUCCUUGCAGAAGCCCGAGGGGACUCUCCUCCCACCCACCCUAUUGCCUGUCUACGUGGAAUCAGAUCAGGGCAGAGCCCCAAGGCGCCCAUAGCCGAGAGGCGCUCAGCCACGUGGUCCUGCUGGCGAUCUGAUGGCCUGUAUGUAUUUGAAGGAAGCAAACCCACACUGUGGAAGACGGGCAUGGCAGACUCCUACAGUCGUUUCCUGGGAAAGAGAAGCAAGACUCAGGAGGAAGGGAGGGAAGGCAGGGGAGGAGAGCCUGGCGGGGCUGAGCUCCUGGGGCUUCUGAAGGCCCUUUUGUGGUCUGUUAUUAUGAUAAAAUCCAAACCCCUUAGCUGGCCUGUGGGGUCCCUUCCCAUCUGCACCCUGUUAUCAUUUUAAAAAAUAUUUUUUAUCUCUAAUUGAAACAUGGUAAUUGUGCACCGUUAUGGCAGGCAGAGUGUACUUUCGCGAGUAUCACAGUGUGUCAACAAGGUGGAAUUGUUAGACCCGAGGAAUGGCAAAUCUAUCACCUUAAACGUUCAUCAUUUAGUGCUGUGAACAGUCGAAGUCUUCUUUACUAACUAUUUGAAAUAUUCUAUGAAUAUCCGCUGACCAUGGCUACCUUCUAUGCGGCAUGGAGCAUUGACAGUUACUCCUAUCCAGCCACACCAGUAGCAGCGCUGACCGAGAAUCCUCGUUCCCUACCCCUUGUUCACGCCCAUGUCCCCGUGGAUUGGUUGUGCUGCCUCACUGGCAGGGCCCCUGUGCUAAAGUACCAACCCCACUCCCUUGUUCUGCCAGGUGUCCCCUCUUGUCCGCUGACCUGAGCCCUGCUGUCAUUUCCUGGGGAAAGCAUUUAUUGAUCCGCCAUGUAUCUCACAAGUAAAAUAACUCCUAGACCUUCUCCUUCUUCUCCAGCUUCUUGGGGUCCCCUUGUGCUCUGUGCCUUCUCUCCCAUGAACUCUUGUAAUCACAAUUGUAUCUUGAUUUUUGAGUUAUCUGUUAAAAAAAAAUGAUGAUAAACUCCAUGAUGCUUGAAAUGGUAUUGGGUUAUACUAUCCGUUUCCUCUCUACUGAGAACAUGUGAUAGAGUCGGACAUUUGUUGAAUGAGUGAAUGGACAGAUGGAGGGAGGAACUGAGAGAGACGGAGGGAAGAGUGAAGAGAGAGAGGAAGAGAGGAAUCAGGAACGGAGGGUGGGGCCACCUCCAAGUGCAGCUGAUUUCUCUCUGAGAAGACAUUUAUAGUUGAUUACAAAUGGGAGGACCAGUCAGAUGUGAUCCCAGACCAAAGACUUCUGUGAAUUCCUUCUAAUUCCCCAGGCUAAAUUCUCAUCAAAGCCCCAUUCUGUGGAGCCCAGGAGAGGGGGACGCCAUGAACUCUUGGCUUCGGCAACCCAGCUGGGACAUUAUUUAUUGCUGUAGCCCUGCUGGCUGGUAAGGUGCCCAUCCUCCAUCCUUUUAUCACAUACUUUCUUCAUCAAACUGUAAACCGAGAGAGCAGGCUUAGCAAUCAUUAAUCGCUGUUCUUGGAUGAGCACUAGGUCAUAUAAUUGCACAUUUUACAGCGUCCACCCGGGCCGCUGUUCCGGCUCUGUAGUCAUGCAUGUCCUCUGGAAGCAUCCAAACAAGACUCCUUGCUAAGAUCAUGGGGGGAAUGAGCGCCAGGGGCGGGUCAGAAAGAUCCCGAAAACAAUUUACUCACCGUAAAGUUGCUGAGGAGCUUGGGGCCACUGCAUUUUGGUUUGCUGCUAAGUGAAUAUGUAACUACUUUAUAUAUUUCAACAAAAUUAAACUUAAACCUACAGAAUUAGGUUUAUUAAUUUCUGUCAGGGCUCAAUGGGGGAAUUAGGAUGGCCAUUCAUUAUGGACACACAAUUACUAGAGACAAAAAUGAAGCCCCGCACUAUUAAGUAUAAUAAAAAUGUUGAACACUGAGGAAAUUUUCAUUAAAUAUAAUCUAUUCUUUAUAUUACUACACUUAAUCCUUGCUGUCUGCUUCUCUGUUUUUCUCCAACCUAUUUAAUUUUAUUACUUAACUUUUUAUAAAUGUUUCUUAAUAUAAUUAUGAUUAAAUAUUUGGGGGGAGAAAAGAACGUUAGUCUCUUAAAAAAAAAGAAGAAGAAGGAGAGGAGAAACCUCCUUUCAUCUCCCCUUUUGUUCACUCCUAAAAUGGUAAAAAAUGAUUUUUUUUAAACAAGUAAGUGCUAAGUGGGAUUUUAUAUUGGGGCAAGGCUGACGCAUGAGAGAGAGGGAGGCAAUAAAUAAGAAAGAAGCCCCAAUCAGCAAUCGUGGUUGAGCUCUUUAUAUUGCACAUUUAAACAAAAAUCCAUUGCCUUGCUGAAUGCGCCCAUGGAUAUGAGCAGGGCUGGACUGUGUAAUUACAAGAUGGCCAGCUAAUGUUAUUGCUGGCACAGCGUGGCCACGUUCGCGACCCAAGGAUUCAUUCUCCAGCCAGGAUGAGUUCUGCUUCCUCUUGCAGAGGAUGACCACUGGUUCUGCUCACUAGAGGAAGAGGGUAGAGGGCAGGGAUUGAGCACUAAGGGGUGACGGCCUCUCAGCAGAACCUUGGUGCUUUGAAAACAAGGUAGGCCGAUCCUGUGUCUGUGGGCAGAGGGGUCGGGGAAGCUGGAUGGCCAUGGUGCACAUUUAAUUUUCCCUGACAAAAUGUGGCGCCGUGAUCAUCUUUAAGUUUCAUGUCAUGGCCUCACGUACUUUUAACACAGCCCGGUCAAGGAAUAGUGAUCAUGUAAGCAGAGGACCAGGGAUAUUGAAACUAAACCGUGAUUUUCUCACUCACACCCAUUAACGCUGCUUUAGGGACUUGCUCAGAACAUGGGGGCCUUGGUUGCACGGCCAGCUCACCUCAGGACUCUAACCUUGGGCAUCUCUUGCUCAGUUGUACCUUGGGCAUCUCUUGCUCAGUUGUAAGAGUCAUCCGGUAUCUGCUUUCAUCCAGCUGUGUGAGAUAAGAAUCAAGCUUUCCUCCAGACUCUAUCAUGAAUUUGGGCCCUAUCCUUGCAGCUGGCGGACUUUGCCAUCUUCAUUGGGUAGGCAUCUGGUGUUUGCACUGUAAUGACCGUCAUUCAUGGCUGAGACACAUACGUGGAAUGGUGACGUUUUUCCAUUUUUAAAUUUGUUUCUUUGGCAGCUGACGUUGUUGGUGCCAUUGCUAUUAUUUCUGUUUGUAGGAUUCCUGACAUGGUGAUCAAUUCUUCCCGCUGUUAGUGUAAACCUUAAAACUAGAAUAUUCUACCACUUCCAUCAUCUUCAAGAUGCCCUUCUCGGGUUUCCUGAACUGCUCCAAUCUGGGUGGGUGGCUGGCAGCUGAAGUCUGGGAAUCUCCUUUUAUCACCAUCCCUGGCCCUUUACCCCCUGGCAUACUGGAGGCCUAUUUCCUGAGCCCCUUGCUCUUGUCUGGAGUCCCCUGUGUGUUGCAGAGCAUGUCUUGCAAGAACUCCCAGAGAGGAUGCAGGGGCAUGGAAAUGCCAAGGACUUGCCCCGUUGGAGAAGCCACCCCACAUUGUACCAUCAAAGCCUCUCCCAGCGUUUCCUACUAGAUCAUCUUAUUUUAGUCUUCUGCCUAAUCUGCACUUGAGCUGACAAUUUUCCUAUUAUUUAUUAGCUUCCUUUAUUUCUUGGCUUCCCUAUCAGGAAAUCAGGUCAUGAGAGCUGGGAUCUUGUCUCCCCUGCUCACUGCUGAGCCCUGUGCAAGAAAGAUAACAGAUCCGCUAGGCACUCCAUAAAUAUUAGUUGGAUAAAGAAAUUAAUGAGUUGAUUAGCUAGCUUGCUUAACUGUAUGACUCUACCUGGAGCAGGGGGGUAUCGGAGAAGUUUGGCCCUCACGGGAUGUAGCUCACCUUCACACAGAGGGUGUGAGGUUCUCUAACAGAACCACAACAAGCAUCAGCCUUCGAAAAUGAAAUUAAUAGCAGCCUCUUCCAUGCCACCGGCUCCCAACACCUCCAGCACCGGCUCUUUCAGCCAGCUGAACAGAAAGCCCAGACUUUGGGCCCUCGCCCCCUUGAGGGAAAGCUCGAUUCUCAUCUUGCAGAGUUGGGAGAAAGUGGGAAAUAGAUUACGCUUGAAACUGGACUAUGGUGGCCAAAGUUGAGCUGAGAUCAAUUCAGGAGAGGUACAGGUGUACUUUCCAAGGAUUCAGGAUUCUGGAUCGGUAGUCCCCAAACUACUUUAAAUACGUGUAUGCGUGGUGUGCAUGUUCAUGUGUGUACACGGGUAAAUAGGAAUUGUGUACAUGUAUGCAUAUGCUUUUAUAAAUUAUACCUUUAUAUCAACAUACUAAUAUAUUAAGACUAUUACAAAGCAUGUAAAAUUGAAUUUAUAGCAGAAGAAAUAAAAAUAACAGUAAGUAGAAAUGUUGGUAUUUUCUUUAUAUAUCUGUGGAAUCAUUAUAUAUAUAACUUUUGGGAAACCCUGAUUUAGGAUAGUACUCACCAUACUUUAGUUUAUAAAGGAACCACCUAGAAGGCAUCUUAAAAUAUGUGGAUGUCUGGGCUGUGGAUGUGGCUCAGUAGCAGAGCACUUGCUUAGUGUUUGCAAGGAUCUAGGUUCAAUCACCAGCACCAGAAAAACAGAAUAAAACACGUAGAUUUCUGAACUCCUGUCAGAAGGUGAAGUCACUAGGACUUGUGAUUCUGCAUUUCCUCCCACUUUAAAUACUGACCUGGAUCUCUGAGCAUCACUAUUUGGGCAGAUUUAAGCAAAGCAACAUGUUGGAAUCACGUAGCGUAGCUUCUGGUUGAGAUGGCUUCAUAAAUAAGUAAGAAAAUUGUAGGCUCCUGGCUUUGUUGGAAAGGCUAAGUUAACAAAGAUAAGGGUCAUGGGCCUCGCAUUUCUGCAACUUUCCUUAAUGGACUAUUUUCAGUAUCUUCCACAGGGGAUGUUGAUGUUCUAUAAGUCAUGAAUUCUUCUUUAGAUUUUAGAUGGCGUUGUUGCUUGAAAGUGGCCCAGUGACAUUCACAGCCUCCUAUUUUGGAUCCCAUACUUUAGGUCUCACUCAGUGCUAGUCAAUUUUCUUUAGCACCCCCAAGAAAGAGCAUUACGAGAUUUAUUACCAAUUCACAGAUGUGGAAACCGGGGUCUCGAGAAGUAAUUUCAUCAAAGUCUCGUCACCCAAACAAUACAAAGCAAAACAAAAGGAAACAAACAAAAAUCUCCUGGCUCCACACCUGCAGAGUGAGAUAUUAAAACCCAGGGAAAGUGCAGAGAUUGCCGAAGGCCACAGCGAGGGCUGGUCAUGGAGCUGGCUGUUCCCAGGGCCCCCUAAGUCCAGUUCCGUGUGUUGUAUACAACGCUGAGGUUCGCACCCUAACACCCCUCAGCUGAUGGCUGGCUGGACCUGGUGGAGCUCUUCAGCAGUUCUGUGUCCCCUCAGGUGCUGCUUUAGUCUCCUGCUCACUUAUCACCUCCCAGGGGCAAUAGUGACCUGCUCACAGCAAACUUAAACAGGAUGCAAUUUACCAGGCCCCACACUCCCACCAAUGAAAGGACCCCAGAGCUCCACCCUGGUGGCUUCGUGGUGCCACAUUCUGCCACCCACGCGCUCAGCAGGUGUCCCACAUGCUUCCCUCUGCUCUGUGUGCUUGGUGUCAGUUAAGAGCAGCAGCUUGGUGCCAAGCGCUCUCCACCUUCCUGCCUGAUGUUUUGGCAUUGUCUACACGUGGCCUCGGGGGGCAUUUUGAUGGAUGCUUUUUGCUUCUGUAGCAGUAAUAUUAACCUUGUUUAAUAAUCUAUUAACAAAGAGGAUAAAGUUCUUAUUAACAUUCACAUGUUUUUUUGCCACUGGAAUAACAGUCUUUUUGUCCAUUUGAAAGACUGAUUUUUUUUUUUUUUAAAUGACAGGUUGAUAGAUGUGGUGGAAAGGUCACUGGCAGAGACAGUGGAUCACCGGUUCAGACCCUGGCCAGCCACUUACGGCAGUGUGACCCGGUGAGGUCCCCUGACCUCUCUGAGCCUCAGUUUCCUCAUGUGUGAAGUGGGGCAGUUGAAAUCCACAUUGCAUCUUUAAUUUAAAAGUUGAGAAAAUGUAUAUGCAGUGCUAACUUGGAAUACAGAAGGCACUCAUAUGUGUUGUUCUCCCCACUCUUACACCCCACAAAAUGGGUUUCAUGUAUUUUAAUGAAUGCUGUCCACAAGUCCCCUGGUUAUGAAUGAGGCUUGACUUGGUUUUUAUUUUAUCCAAGCCCAGAGACAAACCCAUCCUGUCAACGCAGUGGGCUGCCUUCUCAGGAGCCCAAGAAGAACAGGAAAAGAAAGCAACGUGCUGGGCUAUCGUGGACCUUAGGAAAUAACCGGGAAUAAAGACAAAUAGCCUACUAUAUAUAUUUUUUUUCUGAAAUGGCUCUUUCCAUAAUUACACAUGUAUGGCUUCAUAUCAUCCUGAGCUGAGCAAAUCAGGCUACCUCUCUGGCCACUAAUAACAAGGCAGAAGCAGCCAAGGGGCACACCAGCUGUAUAUUUGUAGCUGAAGCUCAGGGAUACUCUGAUGUCCCCUUGUCCAUCUCUGUUUUUCCCAUCAUUCUGUCUUUUUCAGAGCCUGAGUACAAACCCCUGCACACGUGGCUUCUCAAGGUGGUGAGUCCCUUGGAGAUGGGGAGACAGCAAAAUAGACAAAUGAGAGAGCUUCAAGUCACAGAGCCAAGUUCUAAGGGAGGACAUGGAGACUUGAAAUGCUUGUUAGAGGAGAGAGGUGUCCUUCAGGAAGUGCACAUUUCUAAGUCAAAGAUGUAAAAUUCCUGAAAUGCUAGGAAAUUUGGGGAGAGGUUCAAAAAUGCUACACACAUCUAUGGAGCUGCUCACACUUGACUGCUACCAAGUGGAACUCUUGAGAAAAAAAUAUCCACACCCAGCACAUCCCACUACCCCUCCUCUAGGUUCAGACAGUCUGAGGUUCUGAGGUGGGAUUCAGAUGCUGACUUUUUAAAAAGCCUCCACCAUUGAGAAAAGUGCCCUGGGGCAAAAGGGUGGUGAAGGCUGGGUGGUGGAGGCUGGGUGGUGGAGGCCAGUUGGGAGGGACAGACUCUGCCUCCCCUAUUCAGGAUUAUCUGGCACAGAAGCACAAAUGCACUUAUUUCUACAGGGAUCCAAACUAAUAUUUGCAUUUUUUUUUUUUAAAAAGGAAAAAGUGCUUCCUAGGUGAUAUUUUUUUCCUUUGGUCAAAUAUAUUCUUCAACAGAGAAAUACUCAUCCCCUCUGGACUAAUCGCAGCCCUGUUGCUGAUGGUGUCUGCAUUAAGUUCAGCUGGCAGGGAUGAGCAUCAACACGCAGAGGGGCAGCUGCUGUUGGGGGGAAUUAUUACCAUUUCAGAUGUCACUCAGCUUGACGUGUGAUUAAGGGGAACAGGCGGCCCCUCCUGUCUAGGCUGUGGGCAGACACAAAAAUGGAAAUCUGUUUCCCCAGACUGGCAUGCUGCUAUGUCAUAACCAAUGCCUGGUACCCCAGCCACUUCCCCGCACAUCCAGGAUCUUGAAGCAUUUAGCUUCAAUUAUGGAUGUCACUUGUCACUUCUGGGAUGCUGACUACAUUAGUAAACCUGUUUUUUUUUUUGUUUUUUUUUUUUGAGGAUUUUAUUCAGGUGUCUUGUGGAUAAAUAGCAUUUAUCUAUUUUCCUUGCAUUUCCAUGUUGUGUUCAUGGAAUGACACAGAAGCAGAAUCACCCUCACUUUUAAGUCCCUGGAGUGGAUAGUUGUGGCAUUGCAUGAAGUUUUCCAAAGGUCUGCACCAUCCUCUGAGAGUUCUGUUUAACUGCAUAUGCUGAAUGGUUGAACCAAUAGCUUCCUUGUGCACCCAGGGACGCUGCGACCUUCAAAGGGGAAGGGACGUGCUUGGCAGGAUAUGUGGAGCCUAGGGGAGCAGAAUGGGGCAGACUGGACUCCCAUGGGGAGAGUGUGGCUGAGCCAGGUUGGGGAAGAGAAGGUGACCUGCUGGGGGUGGGGGGUGGGGGUUAUUGCAGAGCUGGAGUGUCCUGUGCUAAUGUGGCCCAGCGGGGUUCCAAUCAAUUUUACUUCUGGGUGCAGAGGCUGUGGCAGUGGUAGGGUAGAUAGGGUUAGAAGGAGCUGGGGUUGAGUCCUGACUCUGUCCUCAAGCACCUGGGUCCUGAUAAGUCACAGUGGUCUUCAGUGUGUCCUAGAAUGAGAAUUCAGCAGGUGACACCUAGGUACCAAGACCAUAAUCAUGUUGCCUCUUUGUACCACUUGGGUGACCUGCACAGCACAUGGCAACCAAGGACAAGGUCACACUAGCACAACUCUGGAGCAAGACCAGGUUAGCUCUUUAGUGGAUAGAUUGUAGGGAUACCUAGGAGAAACCAAAUCAGCAGAGAUGAGGAAGAGGUGACUAUUACCGGCUGCACAGAGGUACUGUAGUAUUUUAUCUACUGGAACAACUGUGUUGGUCCAAACAGGAUGAAUAUCAACCUUGGUACCAUGGGUUGUUAACUGAGUGGCUUACUUUAUUCCAACCUUCUGCUUAGACUAGAUAAUAUCUAUAUGGAGAGGGAUAGACUCUAUUCCUCAUGAAUUCACUCAGAAGGCUCCUGGUGAGACCCUCUGUAUGACUCACAAGUGCUAAGCACCUGCUGUAUACUAAGCAUUAUGUUACAGAUUGACAAAGGUGAACAGGAAAUAGCUCCCAGUGAGCUCAUGGUCAAGGUCAAGUGAGGAAGACAGGCAGGUAAACAGGCAAGACAGAGCCUUCAAAUAAAUCAAAAACUCAUGGAGGACAGAGGAGAGGAUCUGCCAGGGGCACUUAGAGACAAUUUUAGAGACAUUUAAGCUCUCCUCCUCCUCCUCCUCCUCCUCCUCCUCCUCCUUCUUCUUCUUUGGAGUUUUAUUUUGUUACAAGAUAACACCAAAAAUAAAUACCACUUGUUAAAAAUUAAAAGUUCAAAGAUAAAUCUAAAGACCCUUCACUUUAACUCAAUCAUAGAUAACCAUAAUUAUUAGUUCGAUGUGAAAGUUUGAGUCUGUUGCUCUAGGAAAUGGUAACAGUGUGUCCCCGUGUAUGUCAGAUGUGUGUGCGCAUGUGCACAUAAGCUCUCAUUUUGUGCAUAUCACCGUAAGCUUGUGCUUUGUUACUCUCAAGAACCUCCAAUCUGCCAGGAGCUAUGACACAUGGCUACAAUCCCAGCAACUCCAGAGGCUGAUGCAGGAGGAUCACAAGCUCAAGACCAGCCUCAGCAACUUAGUGAGACCUUGUCUCAAAGUAAAAUAUAAAAAGGGUUGGGGAUGUGGCUCAGUGGCUGAGUGCCCGUGCGUCCAAUCCCCGGUUCAAAAAACCACCACCAGUACAAACAAAAUAACCCCCUCCAAUCUUCUGAUCCCUGUGGGGUAGUCACUUGAGUGUGGGUCCCUAAUUUGUACACCUAUUCUCUUUUUGAUGGUCAGUGGCACGCAUUAUAUUUUUCAUAUUAUAACCAGUACUACUGUUAGCAUCCUAUCCCUGUCUUCUUGUGGACAGUGUGAGUGUUCUAUGGGAGAGAUGGAGAUAAGCAUUUGUUGAGGUGUCAAGUGUGCCACAACCUCCCCACCCCAGGUAUCAUCGAUACACACACCUGUGUUUCACCAAUUAGGUACAAAAUAGGAUUUUCCUGACCCCACCUUUGCAUGGUGUUAUCAAAUAUCUCCUCACUGUUUCCAGCAGGAUGUGUGUUAUCUCACGUUUUCAUUGGUCUUCUGGAGUGUCAUUUUCAGUGUAUACCAGCUAUUUAUAUUUCCUUGGACUUGGAUUUAGAAGAUGGUAGACAUGUUUACCAGGGAAGAGAAAGCUGUCAGGGCUAAAGUAGCAAGUGCAAUCAGAAGUCUGGAAGCGUGGGGUGUGCAGUGGAUGAAAUACGGGUACAAAGUGGGAGGGAUGUGAACGCCAAACCAUGGGGCCAGCUUCUAGGUUUCUGGACCACACAGACAAUCCCCCUUCCAUUCUCUCACCAAUAAGGCAUAUCUGGUACUUUUAUGUCCUAAAGUUUUAAGAUGAAGUUUGCAUUUCAAAAGGGUGCCUUUGGUCACCUUUCGGAGGUUGGACUGAAUACAAAGCAGAGUGGACAGAGAGACCAAGGACCUAUUUCAGUAGGAAUAGGACUAGGACAAUGUCCUUAGUCUCCUAUGGGACGAGGAGGGGUCGAGGCCAACCCAGCUGGCUCAGCAGGGGUCUCGAUUGCUGGUCACAUCCUCUCCAAGUCUCAUUUCUUCCUUUGGGCGCACCAUUCUUCAGAUGCAGGAGUGGCCACAGUGACUCCUCCAUGGGGUGGAGAAGCCCAGAGAAUGCAAAACAGGGGGAAAAUAUGCCCUCUCGUUCCAGUUCCUGUCCCAUCUCCAGUUCUACCCAUGUCCCAGCACCUUUAACCUCACUUCUCUCAGAAGCACAGAUACCUGUAUCCAACUAACACUCAGCCAAGUGUCCUGCGUUCCGUUAGUUAGAAAAGGGAAAGGACAAUUGUGUGUGAUGGCCACCUGGUUCUGCUUUGUAUGCUCCCAUCACACCAUUGUGUGUGUGUGUGUGUGAGAGAAUGUGUGUGUGUGCGUGCAUGUGUGUAACUGAGUUGAGAAAGAUCUGAGGCUUGGUGUUAACAGUGGGAGAAAGUGCCAAUUAAUUGCUUAGAGUUGCCACCUAUUGCCACAUGUUCUGUUAGUGCCCAGGUUGUCAUUUCCAGAAACCUUCUCUUCUGACUCCACACACAUUCUGCUACAGUGUGAAACGGCACUCAGGGGUCUUGGGUUCUCUCUUCUGUUCUUUCAAGAUUGAAUCCAGGCCAAGGGGAAAUUCUCUUGGGCUCUGAGUGGAUUAGUGACAUGGGAAGAAGGCACAGAGGAGAGCAGGCUGAUAUCUGCUGAUAUCUUCUCUGCACCGCAGAGAGCAGGUCUGGUGAACAGCAUGCUGGACCUUGGUGUUGGAAUGGGCACUGUUUCCCGGCCACACAACCAACGUCCUCUCUGCCAGUGGCCAGCCAACUGUAGCCCACAGGCCAGAUCAGAGCACGCCUGUUUUUGUACAACUCGCAAAUGAAGAAUGGUUUGUACAUUAAAAGAAAUAGAAGAAAAACCUAAAGAAGAGUAUUUCAUGACACACGCAAAAAUAUUUGAAUGGUUCAUAAUGAAAAGUUAGAUGAAAUUCAAAUGUCGGGGCCCAUCAACAAGUUUGGCUGGAACACAGCUCUGCUGAUUGGGUCAAGUAUCGUGUAUGGCUGUUUUGGGGCUGCGGUGGUAAGGUAGGCUGGUUGAGACCUCCACGGUCUGCCAGAUCUAGCACAUUUAUUAUCUGACCCUGUGUAGAAAAAUAAGUUGUCCACCCCUGAUCUACUGAGCUGGGAAGCUGGAGGUUGGUGGUCACUCUCGCCCUCAGUGUCAAAUAGAUGUCCUGGAUUGACACAGCCUCCAUGUGGUGAUUUAUUAAAUUAUUGGGAGGGAUGGGGUAGUUUGGAGAGUUUUUCAAUUUGAAAAUUGGGCUUUGGGCAGGGCAAGGAGUCAGGAGCCUGAAGCUCCUGCGCUCACACAGGUGUGAAAGAGCUUGCUCCUCUGCUGUGCCUUUCACUCCAGGAAGGAGAGCAGAGGGAGGCUCCAUUGAAGAGGCCUUUGCUUUUGCAGGUGCUGUUCGCUCGUUCCUUUUAAUUAGGGUGUGGGCUGCAGAGGCCCAACUCCACCCCAGAGGCAUCGGGCAAGAGGGUGGAAUCCAUUUGACAUCAAACAAAUGGUUUGGGGUGAGCGUGUCUCACAGCCCGCGCAUGCAUAAUCACAGGGCUCAUUGCGCCCAACACGAGUUUGGGAAAUCAAGAUGCAGCUCAGAGUGGCAUUUCCAACCUUCCCUGGAAAUGGGGGGAAAUCAGUUUUAUUUAUUAAUUCCAUCUUGCCGGCUCCCAAUUUGGUGCAAACAGUUAUGUUUUGCAGCACGUUUCCACCUUGCAACUAGCAGAGUUAAUUUAAUGAAAUGAGUAGUCUUGUGGUGACCUGAAGGGGGAAAACACAUUAAUCUGGAAACUAUCAAAGCCUUCUGACAUGUAUUAUUGUAGGACUCAGAAAAAAUAAACAGUUUAUGUAGAAGAUUAAGUGGCAGUGUGGAUUUGCUUUUGACGUAUCUUGUCUCCAAAUCUAAGUUGGGGAUUUAUUAUCGUGCUAUCAUGUCACAGCUAUCUCAUUUAUAUGAUAACACAUCUGUAAUGUUUUACAAGUGCAGCACUACUUGUUCGGAAUGGGGCUUUUUUAAGUCCUAAAUUAUAGUACCUGGAGAGGCUUGCAUAAUUAUAGUGCGUGUUAGCAAAUGAGAGGGUGCAUUUCCUACCCGCGCUCUGCAUUAAUCGUCAGCACAGCGGGUGCAAUAAAAUCAUAAUUGCUUCUUCCAAACUUCUCAUCUGAGCUGCUCAGGUUGAAAGCGGUGGUUUGGUGGAGAGAAGCUUACUUCGUGGUGGGUGGAGGCCUCACUCUCAUCUUCCAGAGGGUGCCUGGAGACGGCUGGAGACAGCCGUACAAGCAAGAGGUGCACAGGGAGGUCUCCUAAUCUUGAUGAUACUCUCAAAUUAGUACAUGAGAAAACAAGGUUGAAUGUUGAUUGUGGGUCCUGGUUUGGGGAACUGGGUUUGGAUUCUAGCUCUGCCUUUCAAUUUUGGACCAAUGAUCUCACUUUCUGAAUCGUUGUCUUCUCAUCUACAAAUGAAAGAUGGUAGUCCCUAAUGUAAGGUGUUCUUAAGGCAAUUAACAUGCUUAUAAAGCGCCAAGUAGACCUGCAAUAAAUGGUGGCUGUUAUUACAACUCUCCCUCCAAAACAUUGUCUUAGCUUGUGCUGUCUGCUGUGGCCUCUAAUGGCCACAUGUGGCUACAGAGCACUUGAAAUGUGGCCAUUCCCAACAGAGAAGAGCUAUAAAUCCAAAAUACAUACCAACCUUUGAAGGUUUAGUAUGAUCAAAAAAUGUAAAAUAUCUUAGUCAUUUUUAUAUCGAUUACAUUUUGAAGCAAUAAUGUUUUGGCAAUAUUGCCUUAAAUACAUUAAAAUAAAUGUCACCUGUUCUUUUUUGUAGCUACUGGGACAUUACAAAUUAUGUAAAAGGCUCAUAUUAUAUUUUUAUUGGCCAGCAUUGGUCUAGACGAACACUGAUCAAAAUGUCCUGGAUAUGUGUUUUGAGUUGUGACUCAUAUUUCUUGAUAUUGUUAUUAUUAUUGUCAUUGAUUUAUUAUUUGUCUACUUUGGAAAAAGUAUUUUAGAUGGUUUGCUAGAGAAAAUAGAGAAGAGUUAGCAAUUUCCACAAACCACCUAAUUUAACUCCAAGUACCCCUGUAGCUAAGGCAAAUACAAGAAAUAUAUUUGGAUCACAUGGGGUUUUUAAGAAGUCUAGGGAUUCACAUAAGUUUGUUUGAAAAGAACAGCUUACUCUCUGGCACCGAAUUUCAAAGGACUGUUUCCUGUCGCAAUCCUGAAAUUGCAUAGACACCUGCACCUCUCCAUCCUCCUUAAGCAAAGCUUUUAUGAACUUAGAAUCCUAUGAGUCAUGCAAACGCAGUGAUGAUAAUUACACCCCCCUUCGCUUAUGUAAAUUAUCUGAUUUGAUCCUCGAAGCAGCCCUGCAGGAUGGGCUGUGCAAAGACUAUUGUUUCUUUUUUAUGGACGACAAACCUGAAGAUCAGGGAGGACUUCAUGACUUGCCCAAGUUUUCAUAGUCAGUAAGUAGCAAGGCCAAGGCUCAAAGCUUUGUUGCCUCAAGUGGAAAACUCCCCAUGCUUUUGGCAGUCACAUGCAUUUUGGUGUGAAAGAGACUUGUAGCAGAAAGCAGAGCACAAGACCCCCUUGUCAGGAAAUGGGACACAUAUGCAACUAGGAGGUGGCUAUCUCCAAAGAUGAAAUUCGGCUUAACCACAUAGAAGAAAUAGAUGUUUUUGCACACACGUUCCAUUAUUCAUUACACCCAACUCAAAAUAUCCCAUGUCUUGGCUUUACAAUGACUGACAGGAAGGCACAUUAGCUGGAAAGCUCCAAGAGCAGCUCUCCAAUCACCUGCACCUGGUACAUGUCAGAUUUUCACUCGUAGGCCCAGGGAGGGGCCUGGGAACUUGCAUUUCUCACCAGCUCCCAGGUAAUGCCUUAAUUGUUGGUAUGAGGUUUGAAUGAAGAAAUUCGAGAUGUUUGUUAUCUGCUUUCCCCCAAAACUAUCUCAACCAUGGAGUCCUGAUUCUUGACUUGCAAAUAAACCAAAACAUCCUUGGGGAAUUUUUUUUUUUUUAAUUAAUGCUGAUGCUGGAGACCAGUUUUGGGGAAUGAAGUUCUCAGAAUGGUAAGUUCCCACCUGUCCCCAGGUGUUCUAGAAUGUAGUCUUACUGGAAACAUUUCAAUUGGGACCAAGGGGUUCACAUAGCUUGGGCAUUUUCUUCUACCCGGGAAUUGACCAAGGGUUCCUCAAACCUGAGUACCAGCUACCCAUAGAGUUCUUCCCUUUUUCUGUGUGACACCCAGUUGUUCAUUCUUGAAUUUGGUUAUUGAGGGUCAAUGGUGUGCACGGCACUGGGUGCAUAUGGCAGAAAAUAUUCUUCCCAGUGUGUGUUUUCUAGGGAGCUAAAGUGUUGAUUUGAGUGUAACUGGGGGAGAGCAACAGGUGAUUUCAAACAGUGAUAAGUGAAAGAAUGAAAAUAGGAAUGGAUAGUCACUGAAGUAGGUGAGUGGUGGUGAUUCAGAAGGGGCGACCAACUUUGAAGGGGACGUAAAAGUGACAAGUUCCACAGAAGGAAACUGGAGUGGGAGGAGACUCCAAGCUCCUGGAGUCUGGUAGUUGGGGUCCGCUACCAGUGGACCAAAGCUGGGGACUCUAUUUCCCACCCAGAAUAGCUUUUAGGAACACUGACAGAGAACGAUAAAACUCCAGCUCCCUGGGUCCCACCUGCAAGUGAAUUCAUCAGACUCCACGGAGUGGGCGCUCAGCACCUUUAUAUGGAUGUUGAAAACAACCUGCAAGAUUUGGAUGGAGCUCCCAGCGUGAGAAGUUCCAGAUUAGACAUGGAAAAGCACCAUCGUUAGCUAGAAGUCAAAGAGAGGGUCGGCUGCCUUCUUCCAGCUCAACAAGUGCUGAAAUAGCUGGGCAUGGUAGUCCCAGCAGCCUCCAGAAUUCCCACAUCACUCCCUUUCUUUUCCUUUGGAAUAAACAGCUGGUGAAUACGACAUCAAUUUAACUAUAAUGACUGCUUUUAAUUUUCAUCGCCAAUCUAUACUGUUACUAUGUAUUGGGAUCCUGGCCGGUGCCAACUGCUCCGGCCACAUGUCUGGUUUUCAUUUAGGCUCUGAGUUCUUUUCGGGUAGUUGUCUACAGAGGCCUGGUUUAAUGCGUAACCCUAAUUGCACUGUGGAAUUAAGUUGGUGCUGACUAUAGCAUUUUCAGUUUCAGAUUCAAGGAAAGUAUCUCAUAGGAGGGGGAGAGAAGGGCCUCCCAAGGGUUCCACCCUCUUACCAGCCCCUUAUCUUUCUGUAUUUUUUACAUUCAACGUUUUUUUAAAAAUGAAGUGCAUAAUAUGGCUAUAAAACUACAGUUUAGAUAAUGUGGUCAGCCUGCCAGUUUAUGUAUAUGCAUAUAUCUUCUCAGUUUCACAGUGUCCCCUUCUCCACCUCCUAGGCUGACACAGGCCUCGUUUCCCAUUAAAAAUGCUGGCAGCUUUGACAUGAGGAUAAAAAUGCAAUCUGAGCUCCUUCUCCUGAGCUAGGCUUGCUGCUGAGUCCUCCUUGAGCCCCCACAGUCUUUGAGGGAAGCUAGGUUGCUAGCUGAUACUCAUUUCCAACAAUGUUUGGAGAUAGACAUCUGCUACAUAAAGGACGAAAUGAAAUAUCCUCACAUCACUAUGUAAGGAUAAAAAGGAUUUUCUCCAGGAUGGCAAGUACUUCUUGGUAAAUUAGGAUGGGGCCAUGAUGGCGAAACUUUGCCCACGUUCUGUCCUCGUUCAUGAGACGAGAUAGAAGAAGAUGCCCAAUUAAAGUUGAGCAGCAGAUGUAAUCGCAGCUGAGUUGGAGCAGGCGGUCGGGAUGGAUUGAGGAACAAAUCUGAACUCGGUGCAGCGCCCAGCCCUCUGCUGAGUGGAAGGCAGCCAUUGAUAUACAUAUAUAUCGACUUUCCUCCAAUAUGAUUCCCUUCUCGUGGUUCCCUCUUCCGUUUCUUUCUCCAGGCUCUCAUUCUACUUGCUGUUCGAUAAGUCAUUGCCAGGCUGGGUGCUAGAGACUUGUGAGACCCUGCAGAAAGCACAGGAACAAGAGAACUGGGUUGUGUCCCCUCCCUCCAUGGGCCUUCCGGCUAGCCACGGGACAUAAAGAAAAUGAUGUCAGGGGCGAUUUUGUAAGAGGUGAGUGACAGCAAGUUACCAUCAGUUAUCUGCCCCAGACUUCAGGGGACGGGGAGACUGAAACUUGUGCCAAGAGGCACUGGAUCUGAGACCUUCAGGGUGAGGGAGACUUGAUCUUCGUGCAGCACCCGAGCACCCAGAAAUAUUUGAAAGGACCAUUGACAGCUCUUCCUGUCCAUCCAGGGCCAUUGUCCCUUCUCUGUGGCUGUCAUCUUUCUGUUAAGUCCCAUCGUGGUUGCCUCACCUAUGACCCUUCUUUCUUAGGCUGUGUCAUGCCCCUGAGGACACUUGGGGACACCCAGUGGCAGGAGUGCCACAUGUUACACUCCAUCCUUCCCAGGACACCUGCAGCUUACUUUUUCUCAGGAUCCCUUGAUCUAAUACCCCCCCCCUACUCCUUCCUCUGCUGCCUGUCCCUUAGUGUACGUGAGUGAAGACCUGCCUCCUAGUCUCCCAGCCCUCCAGGCCCUUCUCCUCUGCCUAGGCCCCCAUUUAUGACCACAUCUUAUUUGGACACCCCCUUUCUUCAGCUCCUUCCUGUCAUUCUUCCCUGCUUACCCUCAGUACUCCAUUCCCUCGAGUCUCUAGGUCACCCCCAUAUACCAAGCCCCUCACAACUUCUCUCCAUCACCCCCAAUCCCUUAGCUCCUCUCAAUGGUACUUACUUAACUGCUUAUUAACAGUGACAUUUUAUGUUCACACAAAAAUUGCUAAUCUGUAAAGCAAAGUACUCAUUAAGCUUUCUAGUGGUUACCGUUGUUUUACAUUUGUAAAUUCCCAACUCCAUCUUGGACCUUGAAGUGCAUUUAUUUGAAAGAUCAGCCUUAUCCUGAUAUCAAAAGAAGGCCUGAGAAAGUUAGGACUUUACAUCUGAGCCAGUGGGAGACUUGUCUAAGGCUUUUAAGCAGGAGAAUGGCCUGAUCAGAAGAGGCUCUGUGGUGGAGGAGGGGUUAGGAGGUACUGAGGAGAGGGAGGAGCAAUUGGGAACUAUGUUCUAAUGAUGCCCUGGGCAGGACCUGACCAGAGGCAUCAGCAGGGUUACCAAGAGAAGGUGGAGGAGAGAGACUGAGGAGGUCUCCGACAGGGGACAGAGGAGAGAAGAGAAGGGGGGGGGGUCAGGGUGGUUCCUAGAUUUUGGCUUGGACCUUGAGGCAUAUGGUGAGCCGUGGGUGGGCAGAGUGGGUUUGUGUAGGAAACUGAGGAGUCUGGAAAGCAAAGAGCCCGGGAGACCUGGGAUCACGAGAGGGGAGGGUGACCUCCUUGACCGGAGAGUCACGUAGCUAGGCUCUGGUUGUCAGAGAGGCAUUGUCCCGACACUGUCAAACUCAGAACACUCUUUUUUCUCAUGUGUGGCCAGCAGCCAUCGAGGACACCAGAGAGAAAGUGCCCAGGCCUUGUGAAGCCGUCAGAAACGGCUCAUUAACCCAGCUUGUAUGCUAAUGCUGUGCUCUUACUAUUUCUUCACUCUUGUUUUCCCUUUUUACUCAUUCCUUUAUUUCUUUUUCUGUGUGUGUAUGUUUUAUCCAUUUGUUGGAAAACACUUCAAGUUCACCAGGGAACAAAAGCAGCAAGAAGAAGGAUGCUUGGUUUCUGCUGAGAAAUUACAAUCUAGCCCAGGAGCAGAUUUGGCUUAAGUGAAAUAAUUGGAGAAAAUAAAAAACAACUAAAAUCGGACCAUGUAGUGAGAGUUGAGAGAAAGGAGAAAUGAGGGAAAGGGCAGAGCUUGAACAUAGGGUCCUAACUGCGGGGAGGUUCCAAAUGGUUAAGUUGAAAAAAAGGCAGCACAAGCAAGCCCUUCCGGUUCCUCCAGACCCGGACACCUGACAGCCAGCCAAAGUCAGUGUUAGCUAAAGAGGUUUGGCCCCUGUUCAGUCUGAUCAAAAAUGAAUUAGGAGGAUGCAUAUAAACAGGGCUUAGGGGAUGGACUCACACACACACACACACACACACACAUACAUGCCGUGAGUCAGGAUAAUAAUUACAGGCUUUUAAUAAAUGCUAAUGUGGUGAUAACAACUUCACAUAGUUAAGAGUUGUUUAUGCCAAGAUCUGACAGUAGCUGAUUUGGGAUUUUCCCCAUUAACCAAAAAAGCUGAGUGGUGAGCUCCUUCCUACCUCCUGCCACCCCUCUCCACCAUGCCCCCACCCCCACCAUGACUCCAAUCACUGACCUUGCCAUUGGCUGUAUCUAGGCUCUGCCCAGGUGAACCCGCUGCUGGGGCCUGACUUGCACCGCGGAACGUCGCCUCCUACUUCCCUCAGUACUUGCUGGACGGUGCUUUGGUUUGUCUGAGAAGGGGAUGUCCAGUAGCUAGCAUGGACUUCAGAGAGGGUCCCAGUUUCCUUCCUCCGUUGCAUUCCUGCACCAGGCUUCUGGAUCCUACAUAUAAAAACAAAACCAAAAAACAAUGAAACAGAAAGAAGGGCAGGGAGCAAGCCUGAGAUGGGAGGAUCAAAAGUUCAAGGUCAGCCUCAUCAACUUAGUAAGGCCCUAUCUCAAAAUAAAAAACAAAAAGGGCUGGGGAUGUAGCUGGAUGUAGCUCAAUGGUAAAGCACCCCAGGAUUCAAUCCCUAGUACCCUUCCCCCCAAAAAGAGAGAGAGAGAGAUUUUUUUUUUCUUCUGCAAUUCUUCAAAUCUGCAAAGGAUGCAUUGGGAGUCAGGAUACAAAAAGAGGAAUAAACCUGCAGCCCACGAUUCUAGCCGAAGGUCCCUCAACAGAAACAGAACUCUGCACAUUGGGUCGACUCUUGCUCUGUCAAAUCCAAAAUUGUCCACCACGCACAUUUUUAUCAACUCAGACACAUUAUUGCAAAGUUGGGCUUUAAUUCCGAAGGUCUGUGUCCAAACUCCAGCUCCCUGGUUUGCCCACUGCCAUGGGAGACCAGCCCGCUUCAGCCUUCUGCCCCGGGAUCUUCAUUUGCAAACCCCUUUGCAUGGAAUGAAGAUUCAAGGUGAAGGGGAACACAGUCAAAAUUCCAUGAGAGUGUCUAUUACAUAGUAGGUCCUCAUGAGAGUGUCUGUUAUAUAAUAAGUCCUCAGUUAAUCACAGCCAGCAUUAAUGGGCCGGGCACUGAGCUCAACAGAGUAUGCAUGACAUUUUUUUAUUAUUUUUAUUAUCUCUCCCCAAGUAAAUUUAUAUUAUUAUUACUUUUAUAAUCCUCCCCUGAAUGAACUCCAAGAGGGCUGUGUAGGUAUUCAACAAGAGGAAAAUCACCCUGAAUACACAAUAAGUUCCUUUAUCUAUUCCCUCCGGGAAUGGGACUGGAGAUCUUUUUUUCAUCAGGAAGAUCCAAACCUUCCCAAAAUUCCCCAGUAGACUUUGUUACAUUCUUCUGGCAAGAAUCAGAGCCCAUGGCUACCUUGGGCUGCAAGAAUAAACCAGCUUCUGAAAAAGGGGAGUAGAGUUAUGUUUUUGGCUUGGGUGAGUCCUGAUUCAUCUCCUGUGAUCUGCACAUUAGUGUUUAAAAAUAUCAGGGGUCCUAUUAACAAUAGGAAGGGAGAAAGGGCUGUGUAGCAGCCUCUGUGUCUGUCACAGCUGAGCCCUGUGUGUAUGUGACCAGGUUUUCAUAUACAUAGGAAGGAGGGGAGGGAAGGAGGAAAGUAAAGGAGAGGAAAAGACUCAUUUGGAUUUUUCGACUUUUAUCAGGCACAUAUAUUUUAUUCUACAAUAAAUGUUAUGAAAGGGAAAUGGAGAUUAACUGUGGAAAUGUGCUAAAGUGAGGGUGAAGGGGGUGACAUUUAUUUCUCAGUUUUCAUGAUUUUCUAUUAUGAGACUCUGUCACCAUUUAACUUUUUGCAGGGACUAAGAUCAGGGGUGGUCUCUGGGGUGAUAGGAGCUCUUCUAGGGGAGCAGGAGGGCUCAGGCUGGCUCCGCGGGCCGUGGUGAUCACACAGGCUGAUCGUGCGGUGAGUCUGGAGAACAUGGAAAGCAAAGGGGAGGUACAGAGCGGGGUCAGGAAGGCCUGGAGACUUCGUCUUGGAUGAAGCAUAGAAAGUCAGAUAAAAGGCCAUUCCCAAGGGGCAGCGUGUGUGUGACCCAGCGGGAGCCACCAGCACAGCACGCAGUCCUGGGAAGAAGGGGCUCAGGGCAGAAGUGGAAUGAGCUUUGAGGAUCAAUUUGUUUCAAUUCUUUCUUGGGAGAGUCAGGGUCCGUGUGGAAUCAGCAUCCAUUCCAAACUCAUUCAUCAUCCCAGGUUCAGUUCCAGCGUUUCCCCAGCUUCGGACUAGCUACAGGACCCUGGGAGUUUCCUUCACUCACCUGCCUCAGUGUCCUGCCUAUAAACGUGGGUGCUGCUGACUCCAGCUGUCAGGCAGGGGGGUCUCGGUGGGACAGCUCCUGUGGAGCUCACGGAACACACUCUGGACCUCAGCAGCUCUUGAGUAAGCAUCGCCGUCGAUGAUGACGUUAGAUCCUGUAUUUUUCUUUGAGAAAUGGAUUUCAUUUGGGGGGCUUUAUCUGUAUAUCCAAAUGUUUAGCAAAAUCUUGGUGACCAUGUAACAGUAAUUCGGCAAACGCGUCCUGAUGAGUGGUCUCGCUGCUCCACCAGGUCUAUACCUGUGAAUUUUAAGACUCUCCUCUUGCACGCCUUCUGCAUCCAUUUCAGUGGUUCCAGAUCCUCUACAAAAUAAAGCGAGGUCUGAAACAUCUUUGAGAAUCCUUCCCUAAUUUCCCCAAUGUUGUAUAAUUUAGCAAUGCUGAAUUACAAAUAAAACAAAAAACAACUCCAAGCCUGACAUGCGGUUUGUCCUGUGUCAGUGUGUCGGGUACUAGCCCUUGUCAAUUGGUUUUCUCUACCUGGGAAAUACUUCCAUUCUCUUUGCUCAUUUGGCAAGCUCCUAUUCAUCCUUCAAAACCUUUCUUAGAUAUCAUCUUCUUAGGGAUGUCCUCCUCGGGUGUCAAUUCUUGUCGAAUACUCUACUUAAACUGCUUAUGUUAUAUCUGCACUCUGUAUUUAUGUCUAUGCCGAUUUUGUUACUUUAUUAUAAUUUGGGUGUUUUCUUUGUCUCUACUUUAAAAGUGUGCAUCAAGAUGGGAAGAGGCUCACUUAUUCAUCUCAUGCCUGUAGCAGCGAAGUCUAGUUUUGGGUGCAUCAAUAAAUAAAUGCUUGUUACUUUGUCAAGCGAGCAGAUCUUUUGUGCAGCAGUGACCCCUUGCAUGUGUAAAUUGCCACAUUACCAUAAAACAGCUCUUUGUUAAGCCUCAGAACCUAUAAGAGAGUCUUAUUUGCUAAGGAUAAAAUAACUCUUUACAGAUGCUCAAUGAUUCUUCUAGAGUUGGUUCCCACAGCUUGCCAACUGUCUCCUGGCUUCUUCUUGUUCCUUCUGGGUUCAAACACAUGAAGGGACCAAAUUUCUCACUUAAUUAUUGCUAACAAAUAAAACAUCAACUAGGCUGUUCUACAACCCAUGGCCAGAUGACUGGUGGGUGGAGAGUGAGGGGCCUUCCCGUGUGGAUGUGGGUCAUUCAGCCAUUGCUCUAUGGUCACGGUCCCAUCAGAUAUGGAAGGCUAAAGGGACUCAAGCCCCCACUUAAGAUCCCUGUUUGUGACACAUAGGCACCCCUCAUUGGCUGGGGCCACAGUAUGCUCUUGGCAAAUGGCUAAAUCAAGAUUUAAGUCACUUGAAGUUGGCCAGAGCAGGCACUGCUAAGGAGAGGACCAAGUCUCAGUGUAUGAGCAAAGGACGUUGUCCCAUCCACGGACUCACCAAGAGGUGAUGCAGGAAGUCAAGAGCUGGGGUUUCAGGAACAGGUCAGGAAAUGGCCUUCAUGUUGGUUCAAGACCAAAUCUAUGAAAAACAUCGCAAUUCCCCUCAGGUUCUUGUUGGUGCCAGAUCUGAUUGUGGGAAAGGUCAGACGAGGAGGAUGAGAGAGAACUGUCCCAGGCUCAGGCACCACUGAUGGCCUGACGUGACCAAAAGGGGGACCUUCCACUGCCUCUGCUCCCUGCCCAAAGCUGCCUGGUGGCUCUUCUGCUGAGUGUUCCCUGGAAACAUCAGCAGUCCCAAGGGCUCCGGGGGAAGAGGUGAUGCGACAGCAUUAAAGGCUUUGUCCAUCACCCUAUUGGAGUGAAAUGUGUUACUUGAAAGAAUUUUUAAAACCUAUGUAAAUCAGUCACUAUGAGAAGAUAAGAUUGGGGUGGGGGCAGGCAGAGUUGAGUCGGUGAUAAAAAUAGAGUUUUAUCUCCAUUUGGACUGAUUUUGAAAAGGUUUUUAACCAUUGCAACUGAAUCCCUUUCAGAACCCCCUCUCUCUUUUCUCUUUCGCGAGUUGCUAUGAGAACAUGAAUCAUCUCUUUAGCACAAUGACAGCAAGUGUCGCAUUUAGGAGCGGACCCUGAUUUUUCACUGUUUGUUCUUUGCUCUCGACAAGAUAAGCUGUUGUUAUUUCUUUCUUCUUGAACAAGCACACCAUGAUUGCUGAAGUGGUAAGAAUAAUUGGACCAAAUAGUCAUGCGAUUAAUGCAAACAGAGAGAAUUCAUCUGUUUCGAGUACUGUAAAUGCACUUCUGAGGACGGGAGCGCUGCGUUCUCUGUUUAUUCUUGGGCUGGAGAACAAAUGCUGCUGAGUUCCCUGCCACGGAUCCCGGAUCUGCGAUGCUUCCACAGGGUGGAGACCUUAAAUGAACUGGAUGAAGGGAGAAGAGGGCGGGGGGCAGGUUGCAUUCAGGGGGCAAGGCUGCUCCGCCCCAGGUGGCAUCCUCCUCCCCACCCUCUCCAGCUGGGGGACCCAAGGCCUUCUGCUUUCUCAGUGAUACAUUGUAAUUAAAUGGAACAGGGAUACACUUCAAUUACAUUGAAACAGAAGGGCAAUUUGAGCAUGCAAGGUGCUUCACUGGCAUUUACAUACCACAGGCCUGAGCCCGAGAAGGUUCCACCAGUGGAUGGAUAAGGACCCCAAGAUUCAGAGGUGAAUCUCCCAAACUCUUAAGGCUGGUAUGUUCAAGUGCUGGGUUCAAAUCCAAGGCUGUGUGUUUCAGUGUUGUGGUGAAAUGCACUGGGGAUAGACUGCCUGCCUUUGAAUCCUGGCCUGUCAUGUGAUGAUGGUGUGACCUUGAGCAAGGGACUUGACCUCUCGCUGCCUUAGUUUUCCCAUCUGGGGAAAAAAAACAAAAACAAAACUGAGAUAACAGUGUUUAUCUAGUGAGGCUAUUUUAAGGAUUAAAUGAGUUACAUGAAAAGAACACAGAAUCCUGCCAGGCCCAGGGAAUGUCCCCAACAGAGGCUGACCAUGCUGGGGGUUAGUCAAAGCCUAGCAGAAUACCUUCCGCCUCCCAGUGGGGUUCUCUGCUCUGCACGCAAGUGACCUGUCACACCUUGGCCAAGGUAAUCUCCCUGAAAUCCCAUGUGUUCCAGAUCCUUGAUGACUUUGGCAAUUCCGCAGUGCCUAUGGGGGAACUUGACUGUCCACCUGUGUCCUGGCCGUGCCCUCCUGGCCCACUGCUUUCCUUUGGCCCCUCUCCUCCUGCCUUGGAGUGGCCCUCUGGACAGACCCCUCAGCCCACCCCACCUCUGGCACUAAACUCACCGCCCUCCCCCACCAUGGGUCUAAAUCCUGGGUAGUUUCAAGUUCCCCAGCCCAACUCCGUGUUCUCCCAGAAAUGUCCCUUGCAACCUGAACCCACAGAGAUCAGCACCCUUCCUGGCUCUUGGAGUCCAGUGUUGGUGACCCUGUCAGUGCUUCCUACCCUCGGACCGGGCAGGGGAAGGAGCUCAGGCAGAGUUCCACAGGCGUGUGGACCUGGGCCGAUGCCACCGUCUGGAUUGACACAGGUGUUGGGAGCCUGGCGAGGUGAAGAGGUGACUGUGAAGGUGGGAAGUGGCUGUUCCUGGCUUCCCGCCACACCCCCGUCACUCCACUUCUCAGGGCCUUUCUUCUUACAGUUGGGUGGACAUUUUCACCAUUCCCCUCAUUUCCCUUCAGCCUUCUCUAAACAGAAUGGAGACUAAAUCCGAUUAAAUAGCAAAGCCCCUUGUGCAGGCUAUGGCCGGGAGGGGCUCCUCUCUCUGCUUUUGUGUCUGAGGUCAGGGGUCUGCUGUGUCGUUUGCUGUAAGUGGACAUUCCCUCCCAGGUUGGAGAAGGUGUUCGCCCCCCUGCUAGAAGUCCUAUUAGAUCCAGUUUGGCUUUGAGUUUGCCAAAGUACCAGACACGGGGGAAACAGCUCUCCUGCCCCCACACCCCCGAGGAGCAGGCUCAGCCAACACUGUUCUGCUGAGCCGCAGAACAACCCAUACAGGUGCUGACUUCCUCCCUGAGAGAGGAAAAUAGGAAGCUAGAAAAAUAGAGGAUGUCCCCAGUUUCGUAAGCUCAGUGAGAGGUGGUGGACAGCAGCUGUCCCCGGGGCCCUGCCCACACCCCUCCAGUGCACUGAACGUCCCCAGGCUGAUCUCCCAUUGCCUGCUCCUGUGUUUCUCUUCCCAGGAGCUUCUUCUAGACAAUCGAGCCCACUCUGCCUGCUUCUGACGAUCACCCUGGGCCAGAGCUGGAGGAAAGCCCCUUAUCCUUAGUGUUGAGAGUCCUUGCCUGUACUACACAAGGUCCCAGGGUCCCCAGAGGGUCAGCUCCUCGUACCUGCAGUGCCCCUCUCUUGACUUGGAGGUUUUUUUUUGGUUCACUGUAUUUUUUUCCUCCCUCCCUCCCUCCCCACUCUCCUACUGUUUCCCAGGAUUGACCUCCAGGAACAACUUGCACUGAAGCCCUUGUCCCCUGGUCCGCCUCUGAUAGUAGAUGGUGGCUGUGGUUGACUCUGAGCCACAGGCUUCACUGGGUGCCAUGCUGUGGCCGUAGCACACAAAGGAUUUCACUGGGACGGGUCGAGAGGGGGAUGGUGAACCCGCUAGGUUAGAAAUGACAGGCAGAGUUUGCUCCAGGGCUCUUCUGUGAUCGAUUGGUGGAGGGGCCCCACCCACAAGCCUCUCGGAGGAUGAGUUUGAGCCUGUGUCCAGACAGUUAGCCACGAGCAUCCUGAGAGCGUGUUGGGGAUGUGCGUGCGCUGGACCUUUACCCCUGUCCUGGGCCUCAGCCCUGCCUGCAGUGAGCUUGCAAAAGGGAACAAGGAAGGCUGUGACGUGGCACCCUGGGAGCGCUCAAACUUAAAAAGUCCGAGUAAGGAUCAGAGGGGGGGGGGAGCCCAGCGUUGAACAUCUCGGGAGCCCUGGGCUGCUGUGGAAGUGCUCCCUGGACAGGUCACUUUUCCCUUCUUUUUCUUUUCACUGAUGAAGACAUGAGGAGGGACUGCCAGGGUCUCUGUCACAGAGCUCUUCCUAGCCAGCGUGCCCUGGCCAGUGAGACUGGACCUGAAGGCCCCCCUCUCAGAACUUUCCAUUGAAAUGGGCCCAAAGAGUCCAUCUUUGUUUAAAUUGGUUGGGUUUGAGCCUUGUUUCUCUUGCAAACAAAAGCAUACCUCCCUGCCUUCCGGGGGUGCGAGGGUUGUGAGGUGCAUGCCAUUUUAUGCCCACACUCGGCCUUAUCUCACGUUGGUCUGACCUCAAGAAUUUAGUCUCUUGCCUCAUAAUGAUUAAUAGGGGUUAAAUCCUGACACUUUGAGGGGCAUUUCUGUUUUGAGGUGGGGGGAAGGCUCCUGUCCUCCUUCCAGCCCCCUCUUUUUGUUAGCACACUCAGAAAUUCUUUCAGAGGAUCCCAUUUCUCCCCUCUCUGUAUUUACCUCCUCCAGAAUGUCUCUGCCCUGUGGCUCCAGCUUGUUCCUCUCCUUCAUUGCACCCCUCCCCCCAGGCACUGUGAUUGGUUUGGUGCUGAAGAUAGAACCCAGAUUAGAGAGAGUGGGGCCUUUGCUGGGUCUCCUGGAGUGCACCAACUCUCAGCCCUCUUUCCCCACUGUGGGACCCAUACUGAUGAAGUCCAGGCACCACCAGUGACACCCUUGGUCAGGCCUGAAGCUAGACCUUUCUCAGGAUGUUCCACUGAAAUGAGCCCAACUGUUCUAUUAUUGUUUAAAUUGGUUUGGGCUAAGCCUCCUAUCUCUUGCAAACAAAAAAUAUGGAGCUAAUUCACAGGUAUAAGAAGUUUACUGAUGGUAGAUUACAUUUCUGUGUUCACAUUGAGUCUUGUAAUCUCGUGGACUUCCCUUCGGCUCAGCAAAUUGGAAACACAAACUUUUCCCUAGCAUCCUCUACCUCAUCCCACCUACAGUCCCACCAUCUCUGUCUGUGACUGUUCUCUUCCUGUCCCAAACGAAAGAAAAUGGACCUAAACAGCUUUUACAUCCUAAGCAGCUGCAUUUACUGUGGCCAUAAGAGGAUUUCCCGGGGACUUCAGCCAGACACGAGGCCUUUGUGUUCUGAAUUUACCAGUCGCUGGCAAUUUGCUAAAAUAAUCGUCUUCACAUUUGCUGUUAAUAAUCUUGCUUCAGGCGGUUACAACCAAAUGGUUGGUCACUUCCAGUAAUGACCAAUUUUUCAGGGAUUAUUGCUAAAAUGAUUAGGCAUAUCGUGAUUUCCCAGGGCAUGUGCUUUGGAGUUGAUCCAUUAGCAAAUAAAAGGCCUUCUGGGUUGAUUUAGAAAGUGGGGGCGCUCAUCUGAAGAGGUAAAUAUGUGCUAUCUCAUCUAUUUUUUUUUUCUUUAGCUGAGUCUAGGUUUUACUUUUUCCCUGUUCGUUGAUGGUUGAUUAUUUAGUUACUAGACAGACUGAUUUUUUUGUUUGCUCUAAACUUUUCACGGUAGCUGGGAAAUAUCUUAUAGCCAAUCAGUUCAAUCAGCCCCUUUUAGGAAGUAUUCAUUUAUUUCUCUUUUCCAGUACUAGGGAUGGAACCCAGGGUCCGGUGCAUGCUAGGCAAGUGCUCUACAACUGAGCUAUAUCUGCAACUCAUUUUAUUCUAUUUUGAGACAGGGUCUCGCUACAUUGAGACAUUGAGACAGGUCUUUGCUACAUUGCCCAGGCUGGCCUCAAACUUGCAAUCCUCCAUCCUCAACCUCCCGAGUAGCUGGGAUUACUGACAUGUGCCACUAAGUCUGGCUAGGAAGCAUCCAUUCCUGAGAUCCUCGUACCAGCUUAUGGCUUAGAAAUUUUGCAUAAUAUCUCACUUAAUACAACAAAGUCUUGUCACCAUUUUGCAUAGGAGUACAACGAACUCCUGAGGAUUAAUUCAAUUAUUGCAUGUCAUGCAACUAAUAAACUCAUGGUUCCUAUUUGCAUCCAGAACACAGAGCUCUCACCAAACCAGGGAGUCUACUUUGCUCAUUCUACAACACUAUCUCUGGUCCCCACUGGCACCAGGGCCCAGCAUGGCACCUGGGAGCCUAGCCAAGGGGGAGGCAGGUCAGGACACUGUCAGGUAGAGCCUGGGAAACCACAGCAGCAGCAGCAAUCCUGCUUUUCUUGUGGCUGCCUGGUUCACACCCGACGCCAGCCUGUCUGUUGCAAAUGUGAGCUCUCAGCUCCAGCUCCUAAUGCUGGAGAAACAAGAAAAGAGGAGACAGAGAAAAGGACUCUAAGGAGAGCAUUCGAGGUAGAACUUGACCUGAAAAAUACUCUUAUGUACCAAAACAGAGGGAAGAAGGUGUUUUGACAUUGCAUGUGUAGAGGCGUUUUAUCGAACAUAUCCGAAGGCCUUUAUCUAGAAGUGGGGAAGAGUCACAUCAUGAUUCUUUGGCAUUGCAUGAAUGCAUGCAAGAACAGAUUGUACACAGGUGCGAGAGUAUUAGGAAGCAAUAAACAAAGGUGGGGAGGGCGAGGGAGGGAGGGAGGGAGGGAGGGAGGGAGAGACUGAGAUUGUCUGGUAUUUAAAAAUUGAACAUCGGUUGGGUCAAAGCUGGGCAUUCUCUGCAAUUUAGGAUUUUCCUCGGUUGCCAGGAAGCAGUAGCCAUUCAAGUAUGGGUCAACAUGAACUCUAGGAGGAAAUCCAAACAUGACACAUUAGUGAAAGGGAAGAAGAUCCCAACUGGCUCCAGCAGACAGGUUUCCAGCCACACUGGGCAAAUACUUCUUCAGUAAGUUAGCUGCAGGCUUUGGCAGCCAAGAGCAGAACCACACUGCACUUUUCCAGGUGCUAUAUUGUUGAAAAGUUUUCCUGUCUGUAUCUUUCAGUUCUGUUUUUAUUUUUUGUGACAAAGCUACUGUAUGUUUGCUUCAGAAGUUAAGAAAGCACAGGACCCUUUCCUAACUUGAUAAAGAUUGUCCAGCAAAAGGCAACCUCAAAUGUCAACCUUAAUAGUAAAAGGGCAGAGGCAUUUCAAUUGAAGCCCUUAGGUGAUCUUAAAAAGCUGACCUAUCAAUACUUACAUUAAGUAUUAGUAAAUUGUAUUUAGUAAAUCGUUUAUGGCAUGAGCUGGGCCAGGUGCUCAACUCUGGCUGCUUGGGAGGGGUCAGUACUGCUCACAAUGUGUUGGCAGAACUAGUUACAGGGGGCUGAAAGGGAACCUUUUGUACCUGGAAAGGAGACGAGAACUGGAUACAGGUGAAUGGAAAUGUGUUACUUCUGGAACAAGAUGGGUGGGAUCCUUCAUUGUGCUCCUCCUCUGCUGGUGGUGACCCCGAAACCUUGUGUUUCAUAGGGUUUAGUAAACAAGAUGGUGGAGUUUCUAUCAGCCUGAGUCCCUGAAUGACAGUGUGGGAUGGAGUCCUCAUUAACCGGGAUUGAGAAUCUUUGUGAAGUUAAACAUUGAAAUUUCAUGGUUAAUUUGACAAUUUUUUUAAACAACCUAGCCUUUCCUAAGACAGAUGAUUCUGCUGUCUCAGAGAAUUUCUUUGGGACUUUCAAAGGAGGAAUACGUGAAACCAAGACAUCCCUGAUACAUGCAGCCCCUAUCCUUCUGGUCAUGUCUGAUACACCAGGACCCAAAUGCCAGAAUAGAAAGAGAUCCAGAGAUGUUCCAUUUUGCAUAGUAGCUAUUUACUACCUCGGAUCUAAAUCAAAGGAAGAAGGAGAAAGAAAAGAAGUGACAAAAUAUUUGUUUCUACUCCAGAAUGAAAAAAGAAAGUUAUUUAUAGGUAAUCCAGGGGAUCACCAUAAGGACAUAAAUGUCAAGAUAAGGGCUUUGCCUACAUCUGCCUCCUCGCUGGCUGAUUGGGUCACUUGUAUGAUGAUGCUCUUGGUCGUCCCCUUGUGUCCUGCUCACCCCAAGUCAGAGACUCCCAAGGUGCUCUGAUACAGUAGUAAAUAAGUCUAUUCCAGUCAGAAAAGACCUCUGUAGGCAGAUGGUGACCAGGAGAUACUUCCAAGGAGUGAUGGCAAGUACCCUGAUGCAGAAUGACUUACUGAAUCAGAAACUCAAGGGCCAGGGCUGAGGAGGCUUCCUGUGAAUCAGUUUCAUAGUAACAUUGUAUCCACCAAAGUUUGAAAUAACCACUCCAAGUCCUCCAUCUGGCUGACAUGUCUGUUUUGACUUCUGGAUCUAUUCUGGUGUCUUGACCAGAUUAUCAACAGAUGUGGUGUGUCGUUCUUUGCUCCUCAGCCACCAGAGCUUCUAAAGGAAACAAAGAAACACAGUUUUCACCACGAGCAAAGGGGUCCGGUAGACCUGCCUAGUCCCAGAGGUGCUGGUUUGCCUGUUAUGCAGCCAGAUAAACCACAUCCCGCUCCUAGACCAGGUUCCCACAGGCGUGGGGGUGGCUGAAGAGGGUGAGUCACGCAGGCAGCGGGCCAUCCUGCCUGGGUUCACAUGCACCGAGAUGACUGCCUCUCUCUCCCCGUGCACCUGCUUCCAAACCUCAGGCUGGGAUUUGACUUGGGCUCCAACCACGCAGAAAGCCCAGGUUUCGUCACCUCUUCUGUCCUUUGUGGAAGGUAGGGCCUUCCGUCGUCACCCAAGACAUGCCAGAGAUUCCGAGACUUGGUCUGAAAGGAUGUCUGAAGGUGGGAUUUGUGUCCGAGUCAGAGGUUGAUCCGAAUCCUACAGAGCUUGCCAAGUGAGUCAGUUGGGUCUGUGUCAUAACAGACUUUCAGAAGUUAAGUAAAAGUAAAACUAUUUCCUAAGGGAUGGAAGACCUUUUCAGAUCUCGCUCACCUCCCGCCACACUGAAAACAAAACUGACCUGGAUGAGAGCACCACGAACUACAAAGCCUGGACAGGUUUCAGGAAUCGCCACUGGCUCAAGAAGUGUCCUCAUGGGUUCUCCCGCUUGUUCUCCAAACUCAUCCCAUGAGACAGCAGGGCAGGGACGAUCCUGGCCGUGCAGAGGAGGGUCUGGGGUACGAAUGGAGCCAGCAGUCGGCCUGAGGGACGCGAGAUCCCGCUCUGCUCUCCUGACGCGGAGCACUACCGUUUUCCUCGUGAAGACGCAGAGACUCAUACUGAGAUCCUGGCUCUGUUGCUUCAUGGUUCCCCAUCUCUGGGACGUUUCCUCACCUCUCUGGGUCCCCCGUGUUUGCUUGUAUAAAUGACUAUGAUAUCUUCCUCAUGGAAUGAUUGGGUGGUCAGAUGAGAUUUUUCAUAGUACCCAGCAGAGCAGAUGUUCAGAACCUCUGGGUUCUUUGUUCUCGCCACAUAUGCUCAGGGCGUCUAGUCUGUUCCAGAACUAGAUGAGGCCCGAGGGACAGAGGAGUGAACAGAAUGCACAGGAUCCCUGCUCUCAAGGGGCUCGCUGUUUAUCGCCCCUGUCCCUUGAGCAAGGAGACCAAGAGCCUUUGUGACCCGACUCCUGAGCCUCUCUGUAAGCACACCCAGGACCACUCCCAUUCUUUCUCUGUUCAUCCCCAGGCCUCCUUUCUGCUUCUAGAACACACCAACCUCACCCCACCCCAGGAUAGCCACCCUGCUGGUCUCCCUACCCUGCUCUCCACGUGGCUGUCCCUAGUCCUUCAAGUCCCACACUAAAUAGCCCUUCUUAUCCUCUUAGCAUCUGUCGUGGUUCACACAGGGACUGUCCCCCCAAACCUCCUGUGUCGAAGGUGUAGAGCAGCGUUCAGAGGUGGGACUUUGGGGAGGAAGGAGAUGGGAUCAUGAGGGCUUUGGCGUCCUCAGUGGAUUACCCCACGGACAUCCACUGAUGGGUUCCCAGGUUAACGGGGGACUGAGAGACGGUGGAAACUCGAGGACAGGUGCCCUGUUUGGAGGAAGCAGGUCACUGGCAGUGUGCCUUUGAAGGGUAUAUUUUGUUUCCAGCCCCUGAGGUGAGCAAUUCUGUUCCACCAUGUGCUCCCACCAUGAUGUUCAGCCUCAGCACAGAACUAAAAGCAAUGGAGCCAGCCAAACAUGGCCUGAAACCUCUGAAACCAUGUGACUAAAAUAAAUCUUUCCUCCUAUAAUUUGAUUUUUCUCAGGUAUUUUGACACAGUGAUGGUAAACUAACCAAAACAUGCCUUUCCUUCAGAUGACUGGCUGCAAUUUAUAGUUACCCUUUGAUCUCUUUGCAUAUUCAUUUGAUUUUUGACUCACACAAAGCCACGAAUUCCACAUUAUAUAUAUUUGCCACCCUAGCACAGGACCUGGCACACAUUAUAGACUCAGAAUAGAAAUGCAAAGAAAGUAAAUAUAUUACUAAAUAAAGGAAUGUGCCCUCAAACAAUUCAAAAAAUGAAUUAUUUAAAUUUUAUUUAUGUAUGCCAUAAAUAGUAGAAAACUAUACCUUUUAAGUGGUUCUUUAGCAAAAUUAAACAUAAGAGACACUUAUUCAUUCAUUUAACCAGAGUUGUGAUGGCAUGCAGUCUAAGAAACUUAAAAUUCACUAUUUCCCCUUGACAAGUCCAAGGUAGACAUCACUAAUCAAAUCUGGCUUCUUUUCCCCUGUUGAACGGAGACACAGUUUUCUCAGUACAUGUCACAUAGACACUGUCAAUUGAUUGCCGUGGGCCUAGAAGAUCCUUCACACCAAACCUCAGACCACUGUAGUUGCUAGUAGUCCCUGCUCAGCAUUCUUCUUAUGCCCAGCCCACCCUGAUCCCCAGGCAACCUCCUGACCCACAAACUUCCUUAGUCAUAAGGUCAUCCUUGUUGUGGGAAUGAAUCUUGAUUCCCAAAAUGUGCAUCACAGAAAAGUUGCUGGGAUAGAUAAUACAGGCUUGAGUUGGGCAUGGUGGUGCACGCCUAUAAUCCCAGCCAUUCUGAAGGCUGAGGCAGGAGGAUCUCCAGUUCAAAGCCAGCCUCAGCAACUUAGCUAGGCCCUAAGCAACUUAGUGAGACACUGUCUCCAAGGAAUAAGAAAUUAUGGGGAUGUGGCUCAGUGAUAAAGCACCCUUGGGUUCAAUCUCCAGUGCCACAAAGAAAAAGAACGGGGGAGAGAGAGAGAAAGAGAGAGAGACGGAGAGAGAGAGAGAGAGAAUGGAUGCUGGCUUCUACAACUGAUACCUGUCUCCUUUCCCCAUUUGCUUUUAUUUCCAAGUGUACCAGUAAGAGAUGAAGGUUUUCUCUCAGUCCUUUUGGAAAUUGAGAAACUUUGUGCAUAAAUCCCAGGCCUCCUGUCAGCUCUGCAAACACUCCACUGCCAACUAGAACACAGGGAGCAGCUUUGGAGAUUUCUCUCCCCAGGGUUGUGCUAAACCUGCAUCUUCCUUUCAACAUGAUUUCUUUGCUGCAGACCUUCCAAACUGUCUUCUUUGUGCAACUUUCCAGCUGACAGCAAAUCAGUGAUUUCUUAUGUUUCGUGAAACCUGAUUUCCCUGCAACCCCAAGCCACUGUUCCUAUCCACCGGCUCAGUCUUUGGCCUUCCUUUAGAGCAGUCAUUUUUGACUAGGGUGGAUUUUUGCCUUCUGGGUGCUGUUUGGUUGUCACAGGGGGCAGGGGAUGGGGGCACACUGUCAUUUAGCAGGCAGAAUUAGGAAUGGUAUUAAACACCCACAAUGCACAGGGCAACCACCCAACCAAGACUUACCUGGCUCCAAAAUUCUGCAGAGCUGAGGUUGACAAACCUUGUUCUAGAGUGGUACCAAAGCCCCUCCUGACAUUUCAAGGUGUCCCUAGAAAUCUUAUUGGGAUUGGCAUAAUCCAUAAACACAGCCAUUUCUUUUCCAUUCUCUGGCUCCGGCAAGCAUGGGGUCAUCAGGGGAUGUGGAUACAGUCCAUCAAGCACGUCUGUCUUUUCAUCUGGGUAGGUAUGAUGAUGUCGCCUUAGGGAGCGUAAAUUGAGAAGUCAGAAGGUGCAGGUACUGACCCACCUGGUACCUCCCCAGUCAGGCUUCCCCUCGGGAGUGGUUCUGGCUGCUUGUGAUUCCCAUUCUUCAAGGUUAUUCUCCAGCACCGUCUCUGCAACACCAGGGUCUCUGUGCAUGAGUGUUUCUUCUUCCCUCACUUUGUCCAUGUGGUCAUUGCCUUGGGAACCUCUGCUACCCCCAGCUCCAAAUUUGUGGGGAGUGAAUAGAAUUUCUUGUCACCGUUUGUUUAUGCUGUGAAUACUCUUGGCCCUGCCUCCAGCUUGUACCUGGGGGCUUCCAUUUACAAACUGUGAGUCCCUUGGCAAGAGGGCAGGAGAGCUGCGAGACUCCUGGACUUUCAAGGAUGAUGGUCACAUCUAGGCUCAGGGACUCUUGGAGCACAUUGCUUCUGACCAUAGGAACCAACAAGAGCCUUUGCAUGGGCCCCAUCAGGACCAGAGAGAUCAUAUCAUCUUCUACCUAUGGGACAGGAGCAGAAUUUCAGGAAGAUCCAUGGAAAAUCACUGGACCUGUGUUGUGGACACAUCAGAGCCCAUCUCCACACCUUUUUACUUGAGGCAAGUUUACCAGGUACAUAUUGCUGGCUCCUGAGAUCCAUUAGACCCAUUUUCAGAUUUUUCUUUUAUCAAAUUUUAGAUUUUAUUCAAUGUUUUUGGGCUUGGAAUAUUUAUGAGAAAUAAUUUUGUUUAAAUAUAUUUACAUGUCAGUUACAAAAUGGACAUCUUGGAACUACAGUGAUUUUUUUAUAAUAAUUUAUAGUGGACUUCAGAAAUGUUUUAUUGACGUAUAACAAACACUCAGAGAAGAGCACAAAUCAGAAGUGCAUGUCACAUAGACUUUAAACUCAAAGAAUCUAAUAAGACCCACAACCCAGAUCCAAAAUAGAUAGUCACAAGAAGGACAAUAUCUCUAUAUAUCAUGUUAUAAGUCACUUUGUGACUUUUCACUAGCUCAAUGCUAUCUUUGCAUGAACAGACAUUCUUUUUUUUUUAAUGCUGGCCAAUUUGUCAACAAUAUUUCCUAAGAUUCAUGAUGUUUUUGUCCAGUUUAUUAUCCUAUAUUAAAGUCAUAAAAUGCACUUUCACUAUAUUUUAGAAACUUGACUAUUUUAAUUUUUACAUAUUGUUGUCAAUCCACAAGGAACUGAUAUUUCUGUAUAGCAAACAUUGGAAUUAAGCCAGUUUUUCAAUUAAUUGAUCAAGCUCCAUAUGUUGAACAAAUCAAUAUGUUGAACAAAACAUUUACCCACUGCAUUUCAGUAUCAUUUAUAUAUCAUUUAAAACAAGUGAUUACAUGUAUAUGAAUCAGUUUCUUUACUUUCUAUUAUGCUUCAUUAGGCUAACUGGGUCUUUUGCAUUUCAUAUAAAUUAUAGAGUUGGUCAAUUUCCACAAAUACCUAUUGAUAUUUUGAUUGGAAUUUAUUGAAUCUACAAAUCAGUUUGAAGUGAAUUAAUAUCCUUACAUCUUUUUUUAUUUUCAAUCUCAUAUUAUAGAUACAUCUCUUGGUAGCCCUAUAAAAAUUUUCCCAGUUUGAUAAUCUUUGUAUUUUAAUUGGGAUAUUAGGCCAUUUAUAUUUCUUGUAAUUACUGACAUGUAUUUACAUCAUCUAUGAGCUAAUAUAUAAUGUAUUAGCUAAUUCUAAUACAAUGUUUAAUAGAAGUGGAGAAAGCAGAUAUCCUUGUCUUAUUCUUGAUCUUAGAGGAAAAAACUUUAGUCUUUAUGUAUGAUGAUUUUUUGAUACACUUUAUUAUGAGGUUUUUUUGAUACACUUUAUUAUGUUGAGGACAUCUGUUUCUGUUCUUAAUUUAUUGAACAGUUUCUUACAAAUUUUUCCUGGACAGGUAUUGAAUUUUGCCAGAUGCUUUUUGUGUUUCAGUUGAAAAGAUUUUGUUUUUUCUUCAUUCUAUUAAUAUGGCAUGUUGCAUUCAUUGAUAUUUGUAUAUUGAACUACCCUUGUCUUCCUGGGAUAGAUCACAGUGCGUAAUUCUUUUAACAUGAGGCUGGAUUUGAAAUCUGUGAGUAUUUCGUUGAGGCUUCUUUAUUAUUGGCUUUUAGCAGAUUUACUAUGAUAUACUGCUUGGGUUUUUGUUUGUUUUGUUUCUUGUAAAUGUGGUUUUAAAGUCUUUCAUCAACUUUGGCAAAUGCUUAGCUUUUGUUCCUUCCAGUAUUUCUUCUAAGCCUUUCUCUUUCUCGUCUCCCUGUUUGUCUCAGUUAUACACAUAUUAGACCUACGUCCUGUGCCUUACGUGUUGUUUGCUCUCAUCUAUGUGUUUUAAUCUCUUAUUCUCCAUCUGCUUCAGAGAUUUUCUUGUAACUUCCAGUUCCCCCAGCUGCCCCCAAUUCUUUGUGUCUAAACUGCUGUUAAACCCAGCAGCCAAGUUCUUGGUUUCAGCAAUUAUAAUUUUUAGUCCUCGAAUUUCCAUUUUAAUUAUAUAUAUUUCAGUUCUUUUGCAAAACUUUCUUUCCUGUCAUGAUGAUGUUAAUAUCUGUGUCUGAUAACUUUAGGGUUUGCCUCCUGUGUUCUUUUCCUUCUUUCAGUUUUUGUUGUUGUUGUUUAGUCCCGACUCUUAUUAGCCCUGGUGACCUUUCACUGAGUGCUAGAAACAGACUUCGUAUUCAAACAGUAUCUGAAGGUGUGCACGAGCCUUCAGCCCCUGGCAGGCAGUUGGAGCAGGACUGAGCUGCUCUUUCCAGCUGGAACUCAGCUUCCGGAAGAUUCCGUGUGUCCCCCUGUACCUUAAAUCAAGAGUGUUGUUUGUUCUUUCAGCAUCCUGAUGAGUUUACCUCUGCUUGGCCUCUUUGUUGGAAGCGAAACUCCACAUUUCAUCUCCCUAGGACCAUGAGACACCUAAAGCUCUAUUUGCCUCUUUAGCCUACAGACUGUUCUUUCUUCUUGGUCUGUGCAGUUUUUGGACUGGUGCAGGGACCCAGCUUGACAUCACUACGACCAUAGUGGUUGUGAGCAUCAUUCUGCCCACAAGGUGACCCUGCCAUGCAUCAAAAACCCUACAGGACAAACAAAGUCGGCUAAGCCUGGCACAAUCGUGGCAGAUGCCUGUAAGCCCAGCUACUCAGGAGACUAAGGCAGAAGGAUCACGAGUUUGAGGCAGCCUGGGAAACUUAGCAAAACCCUGACUCAAAAUAGAAAAAAGGCUGGGGUGUAGCUCAGUGGUGGAGUGUUUCAAAGCCCUGGGUGCAAUCCCCAGUGUCCCCCACCCCACAGAUUGUCAUCCCCUCUCUCUCUCUCUGUCUCUCUCUGUCUCUGUCUCUCUCUCUCUCUCUCUCUCUCUCUCUCUCUCUCUCUCUCACACACACACACACACACACACACACUGCGAGGCCACAGUUGUCCAGACUGGUUCUUAAUAGAUAUUGCAUAUGGGAGUAGUUUUGGGGAAAAGUCAGGUACAUUCUAAUUGGCCACAGCACACCUGUGUCUAUCUUAAUAUAUAAGCCCUUCCUCUCCCUUGGGGUGUGAGGACCCACCUGUUGUGGCUCUGAAACACACUUCUGAUCAUAAGUCCCAGUGCGUCCACUCUGCAGUCCUGGCUCUCUCUGCCUCUGUCCUUGCAUCUCACGGCAGCUUGCUUCUGGUUCCCAUACCCAGGACAAUUGGCAAAGGCGGGCUGGGGCUCAGAAUCUCAGAGUUUCAGGCCUUUCCAUCUCUGUUCACAAGACCUGAGCCCCUCCAGCCUGGGCUAUCUCAGAAGACGACCCUUGACUUUCUCCCCCUCGUGCCCUAAGCCUGUCCGAGCACCAGCCAGCUUCUUGGCUUCUGCCUGUGGACCACUGCUUGGCUUCCUGCUGUCUGCCCCGGAUUCUUGCAAAUUGGUAACUGCCCCAAAGGAAAACGCUUGCCUAGGAGGCCACGGCAGGGCAGGGAGUUUCUCUUCUCCCCGGGGCUGGGGGCCCUCGUUGUUUCGGCUGCUUUGAGGCUCUUUGUGGUGUUUGGGUUCUGGUCGUCCUCCGGGAGGGGUCUGCUUGCUGUGGGUUUCUCGGCUAUUACUCCAAGCAGAGCCCCACACUGCUCUGGACUGUGAGCCCCCACACAGGAGAGGACUGGCCAGGGCAAAGCGUACGCCAGGGAAGCUUCCUGGGUCCUGCCUCCGAGGGGACCCUCCUUCAGGUCCUUAUCACACCUUCCUUCCUGCCACUCUCCCUUCCUCCAGAUGCUCUGUUUUCCAAUAAGGACCCUCCUGCCUUUCACCCAGAAAAAUCAGUGUUUCACUGAAAGUAUAAAGUAAUAGGGAGUGGUAACGUUCCCGAUAUAAACUCCUUAUCUAUUAGGCAUCCACCCAAAAGUGUUUAGAGAUGGAAUCCUGAAAACUUAAAAUCUGCUUUAAAAUAAUCCUGCAAGGGGUUCGUUACUCAAGGUGAUUAAGUAUGCCCAAAAUAAAAAAUGAAAAAAAUUAGGUAUGAAAAAUCACAACUAUGAAAAAAAUUACACCGACUUGCUAUAGAAUAAAAAUCAGAAAGAACUCCGAGGCCUUUGUACAAAUCAUGCCUACUCCUCCCAGCCCGGGGUCCUGCCAAGCUCUCUGGGGUUCCUUGUAAGUGCCAUUGGUCUUACGUGCUGUCAUUUCCUGUCUAAUAUCCUUUGACAAAAUCAGCCCUCAUUGUCCUCUUUCUUGUUCAAUGACAAUGCUCAAAAGAGUUUAAAUGGGAGUUCAUAAGCCAUUGGAGGGACAACAGAGCCCCCUGAGGAAUUUUCUAAACCACCACUUUCCAUAGAGGUACAAAUAAGCAAUAAGGCUUUCCAUCAUGUUCUGGAACCACGGCCAUCAACACCAGGACCAGCCUUCACCCAGUGGCCCGUGCAGGCUGCUAUGUGACUUACCAAGUUACUGGAGUGACUCCGUGCCAUGAUUAUUGAUAUAUAUUUGUCGUCCCUUUCAAAGGUGGGGGGAUUGAGGCUGAGCAACUCGGCGUAGCUGCAGGCAAGCACAGUGAGUUACCUCUGACUAAACCGGGGCCUGAACCUCAGGUGUCUGACACCAGACUUGCCCUGACCGGGAGAGUGGUUCUCUCCUUGCACGUGCAUCCGAGUCCCCCAGAGGGCCGGUUAAAACCCGUGCUGCCGAGCUCCACCCUCAGCAUUCCCAAUUCAGUCUUUGGCAGGGCCCAAGACUGUUUUUUAAUAAGUUCCCAGGUGAUGUUGAUGCCUCAGUCCAGGGGCCACGCUUUGAGGAACAUGAACUAGGGUGGAUUGUCUGAGGGCAAAUAGCAAUCUCAGUAGUGGUCCUCUGGGCCUGGGGAGAGGCUCUGCUGUCUUGGGGGUGGAACAAAUGACCCAUGGCUUUGGGUGUCUUUGUUUGGCACUGGCCCUCUGGUAAUGGCUGUGAUCAGGACACUGGACCUGCCCUGGGCCUGGAGUGCACUUGGAGUCUGCUGUGUGGGCUGGCAACAGAAGGCCACCUUCGCCUUCAGCAUCAGCUUGGAUGGUCUCUGUCUCGGGGGCAACUUGAUGAUAGGUCCUUUAACAUCUCUCGGGGCUGCACUAGUGAAUCUAUUAGGCCCCUUCUUGGAAGGGCCCCAAAUACAUCAGAGAAAACUUGUGAAUCUCUGCUCCUUUCCCAGCUCCACCUCGUGUCCUGGUUCACUCCCUCUCUUCCGCGGCUGGUCUGCAAGGUGCUUACAACCUGGCUGGGAGUGCUGCACUCAGCCAAGCCCUCUGUGUCCAGGAGGGGGAAUUAGUUUCUGGUGAUAGAUGGGCUUAGUGGCCAUGGGACCUUACCGCCCAGCACUUAAGAACCUGCCUGCCUUCUAAUCCAGCCAUUGUGCUUUGAGCUGGAUGGCCUCCCCAGUGCCAUGGUUUCCUCAUUCAACAAUUCAGAUGAUGAUACUCUGUAUUCCACAGUUGCCUGGAGUGUUGAAUGACUUAUCAUAGGCACGGCGCUUCCUAAGCCGUCCAGCACAGACUAAGAGCAAAGAAAGUGACAAAGAGUUCCUUCCAUAUUCAUGAAGGACGGCAGGAGCCUGGACACUGCAUGAAGGUGGGCCUGAGGGCUGGAGCAUGAUGGGGUGUGCGUUAUGCCCAGGCCUGGGGAUUUGGGUGGGAACUGUCUCGGUGGAAGGAAUGGGGAAAACAAAGCCAUAAUGUGGCCCAGGCAGGAAGUGGGGAGGGAGAGCUUCUAGCCAGGAACUUCUUGCCUGUCCCGUGAGCCUCUCUUCUACCCACAGCUCAUGCUGGCCUGGGAAUCUGAGGAUGUCUCACCUUCCUUCCAAGGCAAGAGCUUUCCAACACAUGACACCUGUCUUGCCUUCCCUGGGCUUCCUCCUCUAACAUUUGGGGUGCUUUUCCUGAUCCACUGCAAAACCACCACUUCUUUCAUACAACAUUCGGUUUGAGAGCUUCUUGUGCCCUUUUAUAAUGGUGGUGUGUGUGUUGGGGGUGGGGUAGGAUAUUCUUGUCUCCUUGUUGAGCCAAUUUUCUCCACGUUCGUGAUGAGAUUUAUCCAUCUCUAUUUUCUCAGAGUGGAGUCAGGGUGGACCCAGGGUGGAGAUUUGGUAGAGGUCAGCUGAACAUAUAAUGGACAAUGAAUGGGCAGAGGAAUGAAGGGAUAAGAGAAGAAAAUAUUUCCCAACUAGAGGGAAGUCCAGGGCACAGUGAAAACAGUUGCUACAGAGCCUUGAUUCUCAACAUGUGGUCCGGGGACUGGUAGCAUCUGUCUCGUCUGGAAGCAUGAGAAAUGCAUGACCUCAGGUCCCACCUCAGACCCACUGAAUCAGAGUCUGCAUUUUAACAAGAACCUGGUGGUCCAUGCACACUACAGAUGGAGAAGACUGGCCUUCUGGUUACAAAAGCCCGGGAGACUGGACUUAAAUUCUGGGUCUGUGCUUUCCCCAGCUGCGAGGGCUUCCUGCCGAAGAGCCCUUGUUUCCACAUCUGUCAAAUGGACGUGAUGGUGGAGGCUACUCCUGGGCCUCAUUGUGAGGAUCAAACAUGAACCACAGAUGUGAAGUGUCUUGCACAAUGUGCUUGGCGAAUGGAAAGGGCUUAAUACAUAUCAGCAGCUCUUAUUAUCUCUGUCCCUCCCACUGCCCAAGAGGCGAAGAAGAAAGAAAGAGCAACCUGCUGAGGCUCUAGGCAGACUCUGUGCCCUGGGGUUUCCACACCUGGAGCUGAUGGUGGGUCUGGCUGGCCUCUGGGCUGUUCCUUCCUGCCUGGGGCUCCCUCCGAGGGGCACUGCUGACGUGAGCGGCGUGGCCUUUCCCUCAGCUGUCAGCCACAAGCCCCAAGCUUCCUGGAGCUGAGGACACCAGCCAGACAGAGAGAACCACCCUUUCCCUGGAGCUGAGUCAUGUUAUCUCUAUUCAGACUGGAUCAGGGCAGGUGGGAAGCUUACAGGCCAGCAGAGAUGCCCCAGGCCAGGGAUUGGGUGACACACUGGCGCGUGAGUCACUCUUAUUACAUAAGGGCAGAUCAAGAGUAUUCAAAUGCCACACAAGCCCAAAUCUGUCCCCACGGACUGAGAGGGGGUGUCGGGAAGGAAACCGGUCUACAGACACGUCCUGGGAUCUCUGUGCCCAUGGACAGUAUCUUCUUUAUCAGAGGUAGCAGCGGCCGUCUUGAUGUGGUUAUAAUUUGAAACAGACAUAAAAAUUCCUUUUACAAGACCAAGGAAAAACUGUGGGUAAAUUUAACAAAGAGAUGGAGACGAAUUAGCACCCAAACACAGGAGGUAGAGACAUGCAGCAACUCUUUCCUAAAUGCUGCAUGAAAAAGAAAAAUGUGGAGUCAAAUAAGAAAGCAAUUUAAUAGAGGGAAUGCAUUUAUUUAAAGAAAAUGGAAAUAAAGCUUUUAUACUGAUUGAGUUAACAAACAUCUUCCUCUGAUGUAAAUUUUUGAGGCUCCUGAACUGGGCAGGGAUUGAGACCCAUGGUCCCACCAACAGGCAGGGAGCUACAGCAGCAUUCUGGAGGCAAGCUGGCCCUGAAAAGACUGGGGACACUGGACCUUCUAGGUUUGUGCCCACUACACUCUGGAAUAACCAGUGUAUUUAUGAAGAGGGCCACCAUUGCUGAAUUAUUACUUACAAUAGGGAAAUUUUGAGAACACCUGAUAAAUUCAACUGGGUGCUUUGGUUUGUAAGUGAUAACUAUUAGCUGUGCCCCUGUGGGAGACUUGGAAAUCCUUGGAGCCAUAGAAAAUGCUACUGAGAAGGUGCUGGGUUAAAUUCUAAAGCAGAGGCAAGAUUCCUUUUUAAGCUUUAGGGUAAAAGCUGUGUUAACAACAACAAAAGGUGCCUUUACUUUGAAAAAAUAUCAAACUGUAAAAGACUUGAAUGAAACAUAAAUCUAUUACCAGUGGUUAUUGGAAUUCAGUAAAGAUUUCCCCCUUUGAGAUAAAGUUUUUAAACUUUCCUUGUUAGCAUUAUUUUUAUAAUAUAAAUGUGUAAAUACAUAUAUGUGUAAUACAUAAAUGUAUGUGUAAAUAUAUAUAAUUUAGUCAAUAUAUAUGCACCUAUAAAUAUCUAUCUGUCUGCCUCUAUAAGAUCAGUGUGGGUGGCAUAUGCCUAUAAUCCUAGCUAUUUGGGAGGCUGAGGCAGGAGGCUGAGGCUGAUUGCAAAUUUAAGUUCUUCCUGAGAAAUAUAAUGAAACUCUCUCAAAAUUUUAUAAAGGGUAGGGGUAGCUCAGUGGUAGAGCACCCUGCAUUCAAUUCUUAGUACCACAGGUACACACACUUUCUCUCUGUCUCUCUCUGUGUAUGCAUACACACACACACACACACACAUACAUACAUAAAUAUAUAUGUAUACAUAUAUAAACAAUAUAUGAUAUAUAAUAUGAAUACUCUGAUAGGUAUUAAACUGUAAGAUUAAAUUUGAAGGCCGAGGACUCUGGCUAGUAGUUUAUGUCCAUACAUCUUAUUUUCUUUUAUGUGUACGUGCAAAUGGUGGUCAGCAAAUAAAGAUUAAUAAUAUUCAACUUUAGCACUUAAGCCUAGUGAACUUUAGAAGAAAACUUGUAUGGGUGUGUAUCCUGUGCUGUAUCAAUCCCCAUGCACUGGAUAUUUCUGUGUAGGGAAUACUGACUGAUUUCCUCAUUGCUGGCCUCACCAGGCAACAGUUCUGUGUGGUGGUUACAGGUACUUUGACCUUAAAGUGGUUGAAUCAGGUGGCCACAGAAUUGGUACCCAUUCCCUUUUAUCUUUCCCCCCACACUGUCCAUAAAUGUCAGUGGCCUGGGUUCUUCUGGGUCAUAGAAUGUGCACAUCAGGUCCAAGGAACAAACUCUUUGGCAUUCCCAACCCCAACACAAUUGUGGAAUUCCAAGUCUCCCUGAAUGUCAAUAGGUCUGUGUUCCUACAACCAAAAAUGUAAAAGGGAGCAUCCCUAUUACCUCUCACAUAAUCUCCAGAAAUUUAUUUUAGGUAAAAUCUGACUGUAAUUAGAAGAGAAUGAGCAAAACCAGACACCAAUGUCCUGAUACAUCAACCUGGCUCGUCUUAUGAUUCAGCCAAACAGGGGGCUUCUGAACACAUGCAUAAAUCAGGAGGCACAGAGCCCUUUCCAAGCUCCGGCCCACCAGAAGAAGUAUAGCCAUGCCCAUCUUACAAAGGCCCAUCUCUUCUCCUCCUGGUGUCCCCUAGGCAGGGAUCAGCAAACCAUUAUCUAUCUAUAUACCUACCUACCUACCUACCUACCAUCUCUCUCUUUAUUUUUGAUAAAAUGUUUGGAAUUAGUCAUAUAAAUAUGUAAGCUGCCUUUUGACUUUAAUUUUGCCCAGAAUAUUUACUCUCUGGCUCUUUAAGGAAGUAUUUCCUGAGGGUUUGCAUUGUUCCCACCCCAGUCCCUGGCUAUUUCCCGUCUGAGGUCCUGUGCAGUUCUUAUUGGUACCCCUGGCCCACUCUGGUUCUCCCCACACUUCUUUCUGUACAAGCAUGCAAAAUACAAACCAGAGUAUGAAUUUCCCUUGUGGAGAAGCUUCUGAUGGUUGCUCACUGCUCAAAUGAAAGUCAAGCCCUGCGUUGCUCUUCCAGCCCAGAGCCCUGCCUGCCUCUGCCCUCACCAGCCCUGGCUCUGUUGUCCCUGUGCCCAACCUUUCUCUUCCCUCUGACACAGAGCCUUUAAACAUGGCCCUAGAAUAUAAGCCUUGUGAAGGCAGGGACCUGGUCUUGGUAACAUUCCCCAAGAUGGUGCCUGGUGCUUGAUAGGCAUUCAACACAUACUUAUUGAAUAAAAGCAAAUGACCUUGAAUUUUCACAGCAAACUUUUGAAGUAGGAUUUAAAAAAAAAAAGUGCAGAUAAAUAAAAAGAGGCUCAGCAGAGAGGGGAAUACAGGAAGUGGUAGAAACAGAUUGGAAUGAGAGCUCAGAGCUUUCUGACAUCUUGCUCCAGGGAGUGCUUCAUUCCAACACCAAAGUGAUCCUUUGCUACACCACCCACCACCAGUCACUAGAUCUUUAAACAUGAGAUCUUCUUACAGAGGAAACACCUUGGUCCUUGUGCCAGAGUGGCCUCUGCAUAUCCUGACUGCAGGCUGCCGAGUGGUGCCACAUGACUGAAGGUUUGCCUGCAAUGUGCUGUAAUCCCUGAAAGCUGGGGUCUGCUUUGAGCCUGAGAACCCUGCUUUCCUGCUAGAAACUUCCCAUGUAGAGGGAGUCAAAUACCCCUUGUCCAUCCUUGAAGCACAAGGCCACUCCUCCACUGCAAGUUUGACUUCUGCUCAUGUCCAAAUGCCUCCUUGGGCUGUACCAGGCUCCUUGGUGAUGGGUUGGGGUUGGUGGUUUGGUGGAGGGAUUGGAUACAGCGUUUUAGUCUUCCUGUUCAUGUGGACUGUGUUCUUCAGUCUCCAUUGUCACAUAGUCUUCCCUGGGCUUGAGUCUUGCUCUUGCUACCCAAGAGGGUUUUACUCUAUUGGUUCUUCUCCUAGACCAUUAUGCACCUAAUAGUUUUCUUUAAAUUGUUGCGUGGUUUUUGACUUGUUAGUUUAUACAACAGUCUGGGACACCAGACCAAAUCCCUGGCAGUGCUUAGAAGGUCCAUCCCAAUGUGCCUGGCCUGCAUUCAAGCCCUGCCUCACCACUCUCCACGUCUCACGAGAACUGCAAUGUGGUCCAUUGUGAGCACGGCCUACCGCGUGUCCUGGCUUGUAUGUGCCUCAUCGUAAUAAUUCUUCCCAAGGAGACUGACCAGAGUGAGGAAGCUGCCCCUCAGAGGGGUGAGAUAACCAGUCAAAUUGCAUCUGUUUGCUUCCUUUAGGGACAACUCCUUCAUCUGAGAUGGCCUUCCCUUCUCCAGGUCACAGUCCUUCAGAUAAGAGUCCAGGAGCCCCCAGGAUGCAAUCCUUUGCUCCUUUUCUAAAACACUCAACAAACAGCUUGCACCUGGAGGACCCUACCGAUGCCCGUUACCUGGGUCGCGGAGUCCCAGGCCCAAAGUACUAUUGUGUUGGACAGAGGAGAAAAACAUUUUAUAAAAUGGAUUUUUGCACGAAGAGACGAAGAGUAGGGAUACGUCGGUGUACCUCCAAAUCAGCAACAGAUAAAGGGGCCUGCUUCUUUGCUUUUUGAACCUGGUGCAAACUCUGCUUUAUCAGACAACACGUUUGCUUUGCUCCUUUUAUUUCCCCCUGGAGGCCGUCUCCCCAGGCCACAGAAUGGAGAGCGGGCAAGCCGUAAGCCAUCGGUAAGCCAGCCCGCCAUUCACUACCUUUUCUUAUACAACAGUUAUUUGUAAACUAAUCAAUAAACUCUUCUUGUUUUGUUUGCUCCUUUAGAACUCUUAGCAGCUGCCUGCUGAACCAUGAAGAAACUUAAAAUAGCGACGAUCCCCUUCCACGCUGCCGCCUCUUUCCCCGUAGAACCCGCGAGCCCAUCUGUGGUGUUUAUACUCAAGGCCCUGUGAAGCUAAUCUGUAUGGAAAUAAAGGAUAGAAAUAUUCAGAUUGAGUUUUACUAAGUGAACCUGAGGUUUUUCUCUUCAGCAAAAUAGGCCAGGUAAAUGUGUUUCUGAUACAGAAUAAAUCACUGGUUGGAAGACCUACAUUUCCCUUUCACCAUUUUCUUGGAAGGAAAGAAUUCACAGCCUUCUGCAUGGACAGUGGGAAGCACCAGUCCCUCCCCCAGGGAGUUCCUGUUAGCAUCUGAGAAAUCUAUUGCCCUGACGGGGGCUGGAGGUGCUGUGGUCUUCGCAGAGGGCCAGG
RNAcentral lists this long non-coding RNA (47830 nucleotides) under Marmota monax (woodchuck). Lineage: Eukaryota; Metazoa; Chordata; Mammalia; Rodentia; Sciuridae. The record is from RNAcentral.